GAAUCUUCUGAUUCAACGGACCAAACAAAUGGAGAUCUCGAGGAUCUUACUUAAAUCUCAAAUAAUACAGUUACAUAUUAUUACAAGAAAAUAACACAAAGCAAGCAAAGCCGGACAUUUCGGGAAGCAAUACAAAAAAAAUUGGCAGAGGCAAUGGAAUUGCUCCAAAUAGGAGGAUGCAAAUGAGUUAAUAGUCAAGGAAGUUGUGGAAAAUUAUGAAAGUGAACGAUUUGAAUAUUAGUAGUAGGUUGGUGGGGGUGGAGGUGAAGCAUAUGUGGCAGAUUGCUCGUAGUUUUUAGGUGGUGGAGGUGAGGCAUAAUUGGAAAUUUGUUUAACGUAGUUUGUUGGAAGUGGAGGUGAGUAGUAUAAUGGCGAUUGUUCAUAGGUCUUUGGUGGAGGUGGCGGUGAUUCAUAAUAAGGUGGAGGUGGCGGUGAUUCAUAAUAAGGUGGAGGUGGAGACUUAUAAUUAAUUGGUGACUGCUCGUAGUAUUUUGAUGGUGUUGGCGGCGGCGGAGAGUAGUAUGAAGAUGACUGCUCAUUGUAUUUUGGUGGAGGCGGUGGAGAUUUGUAAGAAGAUGAUGAUUGCUCGUAGUAUUUUGGUGGAGGUGGAGGUGACUUGUCGUAUGAAGGUGACUUUACGUAAUACGCUGGUGGUGGUGGUGGAGAUUUGUAAUAAACUGGUGACUUGUAAUAUUUUGUUGGUGGCGGUGAGUUGUAAUAUUUAGAAGGAGCAUGUGAUUUAUAAUAUUUUGUUGGGGAUGGUGAUUUGUAGUACUUUACUGGCGAUGGUGAUUUAUAGUACUUUACCGGUGAUGGUGACUUGUAGUAUUGCUUUGAAGGAGCAGGCGACUUGUAGUACUUUACUGGUGAUGGUGACUUGUAGUAGUACUUUGAAGGAGCAGGUGACUUGUAGUACUUAACUGGCGAUGGUGAUUUGUAAUACUUAACUGGCGAUGGUGAUUUGUAGUAUUUUACCGGCGAUGGUGACUUGUAGUAUUGCUUCGAAGGAGCAGGCCAAUUAUAAUAUUUUGCCGGUGAAGGAGAUUUGUAAUAUUUUACUGGUGAUGGCGAUUUAUAAUAUUCGUACUUUGAAGGUAGAGGCAAUUUGUAGUUUUCGACAGAUUUUCCUGGUUUCCUGUAGUAAGGAAUGGUGGGUACAACAUACUUAGAUGGAGAUGGUGAUUUGUAGUACUUCUUAGAGUUAUAAGAAGGUGAGGGAGAAGUAUAACCAUAAGAGUAAUCAGCAAAAACAGUGCUGGCUGCUAAGCAAAUUGCCAAAGCAACAGCAAGAAGAGGCCAUUGCCGUAGCUUCAUUAAGCUUCUCAUUUUGAUCUGCAAACCAACUGUAAUUGGAGAAGAGAAGGAGAGAACCUAGAAAACUUGCAUUGCAUAGUUGAGAAGGGAGCUCUGGUUUUUAUACAGCAAUAUGACAUCUUUCUUGACAUUUAUAAAAUGGCUUCAUGGUUACCCACUAAGAUGAGAGCAAAGUCCAAAUAAAGACUUGGUCAGUACUAACUACUAAGUGGGAGGCAUUUUCUGGUGACAAAUUAAUUCAAAUAAACAGAAAAAAAAUUAAAUAUCUGAAAAAAUUAAGAAGCAUACCAAAAACUAGUCAACAUUUGACAUAACUCAUAGUAAUAGAAAGCCAAUGUACUUUGUUGAAGACUUGGUCAGGGUGGUUCACACCCACCAGACUGCCUAUCCAGAUUACCAUACUCACUAAGAGACUUGAUUGCUUACUCUUCUUUUCUUGUUUGUUCUUUUUCUAUAUUUGCUUCCUCCGCACUCAAUGAACAAUCAGAUGCGGGAUUACAUGUUGAUUGCGGUGUGCUUGUCUUGAUUGAUUUCGCAUAUCUCUUUCUUGUUUUUGGGCAAGCUGCUCUAGCUCAAGUGGAAUCAGUUACAGUUGGCAUAUAUAAAAAAGUAUAAUAUCGUGUCUUCUUUUAUUAAGGAAUUUCUAGAGAGGAAUCCCCUGGCCUUAGAUCAUUUAGCCGUAGCUCAUUGGGGUUGAAUUAAGGGUGUCAACCAUGUCGGGUCGGACCGGACCGGUAUAACCUGGGAUCGGACCGGCCCCGGUUACUAAGGGGCCGGGUGGGCUGGGUUCGAGGGGGGAGGGGGUUGGUCCGUUUGGGAUUUUUGGGGUUGGAACCGGCCCGGUUUGAGUAAACAGUACCGUGAACCGGUUGGACCGGCCGGUUCAACGGUAAUUUUUUUUUGAUUUUUUGAAUUUGUGGGGCCCACAUUACCGUUGGCAACGGUCCAGAUCCGUUNNNNNNNNNNNNNNNNNNNNNNNNNNNNNNNNNNNNNNNNNNNNNNNNNNNNNNNNNNNNNNNNNNNNNNNNNNNNNNNNNNNNNNNNNNNNNNNNNNNNNNNNNNNNNNNNNNNNNNNNNNNNNNNUUACAAUAUUAACCCUUCUUAAAAUCUAUAAAUACCCUCAUCUCUUCUUCAUUUCUUCACUCAAAAUUCUUAUCUCAAUCUCAAUUCUCAAAUUAUGAAUCUCUCUCUUCCCUUCAAUUUGCAAGAUUUCAUAUUCUAGAUUUAUAAUUUUAUUUGUCUCUCUUUACCCGAAUUUAAUUUAGCGCAAUUUGUCAUUCGAAAUUUGAAGCUUGAAGUUUAAAACUGAAAUACUUGCUUGACGUUUGUUCGUGGUAACACCGGAUUUGCGUAAUCAAGUGCUCNNNNNNNNNNNNNNNNNNNNNNNNNNNNNNNNNNNNNNNNNNNNNNNNNNNNNNNNNNCCGCCUAAUUUGCAAGAUGUAGAGAUUGAUUAUGAACAAUUACAAGAAGAUUUUGGAAUAGAAGAUAAUGAAAUUGGAAUAGAAGAUGAGAUACCACCGACACCUAGUAGUGGAAAUGUUGGUAGUAUUGAAGUUAGAGUUGUUAGUGCUACAAGGGGUAGUAGACGACCAGUGGCUCCAACUUCUAAUCGUAAAAGAAGAAGUCCGGUAUGGAAAUUUUUUGAAAUAAUAGAAGGCACUAAUAGAGUUAAGUGCAACUUUAUAACGAAACUUUUAAACAUUUGACCGGAGAAAAUUUAGGGGAGACUGAGACAUUUACUAGAAAUAUAUUGUCUAUCCAUCCCAUAGAAUGGGGCAAUAAUGGGGAUGGAAGUCAAAUAACUAUUAACCCUACUACUGGAGGUCUACUAAAAUAUGAUAAAAUGAGGGAUCGUGANNNNNNNNNNNNNNNNNNNNNNNNNNNNNNNNNNNNNNNNNNNNNNNNNNNNNNNNNNNNNNNNNNNNNNNNNNNNNNNNNNNNNNNNNNNNNNNNNNNNNNNNNNNNNNNNNNNNNNNNNNNNNNNNNNNNNNNNNNNNNNNNNNNNNNNNNNNNNNNNNNNNNNNNNNNNNNNNNNNNNNNNNNNNNNNNNNNNNNNNNNNNNNNNNNNNNNNNNNNNNNNNNNNNNNNNNNNNNNNNNNNNNNNNNNNNNNNNNNNNNNNNNNNNNNNNNNNNNNNNNNNNNNNNNNNNNNNNNNNNNNNNNNNNNNNNNNNNNNNNNNNNNNNNNNNNNNNNNNNNNNNNNNNNNNNNNNNNNNNNNNNNNNNNNNNNNNNNNNNNNNNNNNNNNNNNNNNNNNNNNNNNNNNNNNNNNNNNNNNNNNNNNNNNNNNNNNNNNNNNNNNNNNNNNNNNNNNNNNNNNNNNNNNNNNNNNNNNNNNNNNNNNNNNNNNNNNNNNNNNNNNNNNNNNNNNNNNNNNNNNNNNNNNNNNNNNNNNNNNNNNNNNNNNNNNNNNNNNNNNNNNNNNNNNNNNNNNNNNNNNNNNNNNNNNNNNNNNNNNNNNNNNNNNNNNNNNNNNNNNNNNNNNNNNNNNNNNNNNNNNNNNNNNNNNNNNNNNNNNNNNNNNNNNAGUUUUAAAUCCUUCUAUUAAAAUGGGUGAUUGUCACCAAUUAAUGAAUGCUUUAUAUACUUAUGUGGAGAUUGGAGAAACUGAAACCCAAAUUUAUAUGAUUCUAUGAACAAGCUAAAUGAACAUUUAUAACAACUAUAUAAUUAUUAUGCAAAUGAAUGUGAUAAUACUGCUCGUGCUUCUGGCGAUGUUANNNNNNNNNNNNNNNNNNNNNNNNNNNNNNNNNNNNNNNNNNNNNNNNNNNNNNNNNNNNNNNNNNNNNNNNNNNNNNNNNNNNNNUGCAAUGUAGCAGUUCUGCUAAUAUGGAUGAUGAAGGCCUUGAUAGUUUUAAUAUUUUUUCUACAUUUUCUAACACUCAAACCAGUUGCAGGAAUAUUUAUGAGCUUCAAUUCUACUUGCAAAAGCAAAAGGAGCCUCGCACAAAGGACUUUUCACCGUUGGGAUGGUGGUAUGAAAAUGAAAAGCAAUUUCCUAAUUUUUUCGCUAUGGCACGGAACGUGCUGAAUGUGCCAAUUUCUACUGUUGCAUCGGAGAGUGCGUUUGGCCUAGCAAGACAACAACUUGGAGACACUCGUCAUUCAUUGGGAAGCAAUGCUUUGGUUUUUAUUAUGUUUCAGAGAUUGGAUUAGAUCGGAACGAGGAAAUCAAGGAAAGGAAGAUGUUGAUAGCCCAGAAGACGAGAAACUUGGAGAUAUAUUAACCCAUGGAAACCCAUCCGAAUUUAAUUCCCCAGAAGAAGGUCAAUCGGUUCAUAUUGAUUAUGAUAAACUUGCUAGUGCGAUGCAAAACAUUGAAAUUACUACUUUACUAGUUUACUUGUUAGAAAAAAUAUAAACAUUUCAUUUUCUACUUUNNNNNNNNNNNNNNNNNNNNNNNNNNNNNNNNNNNNNNNNNNNNNNNNNNNNNNNNNNNNNNNNNNNNNNNNNNNNNNNNNNNNNNNNNNNNNNNNNNNNNNNNNNNNNNNNNNNNNNNNNNNNNNNNNNNNNNNNNNNNNNNNNNNNNNNNNNNNNNNNNNNNNNNNNNNNNNNNNNNNNNNNNNNNNNNNNNNNNUAGUACUUUAUAUUAAUACUAUAAAUUACAAUAUUUAUAUAAAAUCCAAAAAAAAAAAAAAAAAAAUAUACUAAACUCGGCCCGGCCCGACCCCCUCAACCCGUAACCUAUAUGGUUCAAUUUUAACCCGAACUAACAUAGCCCGCUACGAACCCGUCACUGUGCAACCCGGCCCGACACGGAACCCGGACGGGUCGAAAAAAUUCCGGAUCCGGACAAGCCCGGUAGACCCGUUUGUCACUCAUAGGUUGAAUGCAGGUGCAUCCAAAAAUUAAUACUUAUGAGUUCCUGCAACGAUUUCGAGUAAGUUUUCAAUAGUAACUGGGUUCACAUUUAAAUAUUUAUAGAUAUUGGUGAAUUUUUAAGUUAUAUUUACACUGUUUGGACAAAAACGACUGAGUUUACGGGAACCCGUAAAUAACAGGCUAAAUCCGCCCCUGGUUGGAUGCUUGGUGACAACCUUGACUACUCGAGGAACUUUUAAUCGAAAAUUGUUAAGUGGGAUUCCAGUAGAGAAUGAUACUACAAUCGCAAAAUCUUCAUUAGAUCUUCUAUAAUAACUAUGCCUGCUCGUUGCAGUAGAUAUUGCUGUUUUCUGAUAGCUAAUAUAGAAUAUGUGAUUUCUAACUAGAACUUGGAUUUUACAUAAAGAAUCUUGACGGACGAAGUAACUAUUAAAUAACAUAUUCUACAGCCUCUGCUGAAGUUCUGCUCCACCACACUAACGUGUCAACGGAAUGAAAAUCACUCCAACGAUAUGCCUCCAGCCAGUUUGUUAGCAAGAAGAAUAUCUGAAUUGUUAGCAGAGAAGAGAUGAUACAGCUGCUUCUACAGGAUUCACGUCGUAGAGGCUUUCUCUUGGCUUGCCAUGUAUGUCAGGUACACAUUCCAUACGUACGAAAACGUGUUGCUUACAAGCGGCUGUCAAUAUAGUAAUAAGAUCUCGUUAGUUGCGUUCUCAAGUAGACAUACAUAUAUAUUAUUAUUUAUAUGUAAGGAUAGAGACAUAGCCCUCUGCUGAAAAUGAAGGUAGAAAAAGGAACAUUUUCUUCAAAUUGGGAGUAGAAGGAUUGGAACCCAAUGACAGAACAAAAGACAUCCGAAGUUAUGUAUAGUGACGUUAGGGGUCGAUGAGACCUUGAGCAUACCUGUAAAUGAACGGGAACAAAUUUGAAUGUAAUGAAAUCACAUAUUGGCCAGUACAUAAGACCAUUGACAAUAGUGGGAACCAAGUCGCGCUUGAGUCUGGCAACAAUCUCUGAACUACUUUCACCUGGUGUAUCAUCCGAUAAUUAGAAUUAGUGGAAAAAAAUUUCAAAGUCAAUGCUCGAUAUAAUUCAGAAAAAAGUAAAGAAGGAAAAGUCAGAGUUCAAAUAGACGUUGACAAUUAUUGCUAGUUCAUUCAUAUCCAUUCAGCAAAUAAAGAGAACUGACAACACAUUCAAAUUCCAAAUCACCAUGAAUGGUGGAUAGUCAUUUGCCUGUAAAAAUUGACACGGAAUAAGAACAAAAAGGGAAAAAAGGAAAGAAGCAUAAGAAGGCUUGCCAACGUAGAGUCUAGAGACUGAGAUCUUAUGCUGUAUCAAUUUAACAAGCAUAUCUUCCCUAAUCUAAUUUUAAAUUUCCUAAUCUAAUUUUCGCAGUAAUUUCUAUUGGUCCAUGACCUCUGAGAUAUUGUGAUACAGAGUUUGGUACACUAUCUCUCAAACCCAGAUGUCAGCAGUUGUUUUCUCUCAUGUCACAAAACCUACACCCUCCUCUCCGACAUUCUCACACAAGUUUGGUACAAGUGUUAUCUUUCAUUUUGUGGGUUCAAGAGUGUGAUAAAUUUCCCCACAUCUAGAGUGCUCCAUUGAUACUUUAUUUAGUUGAUGACAGUAAGGUACACCAACAACAACAACCCAGUAGGGUCUGGGGAGGGUAGUGUAUACACCGACCUUACCCCUACCCUUGGGUAGAGAGGCUGUUUCCAAAUAGACCUCCGGCAUCCUUCCNNNNNNNNNNNNNNNNNNNNNNNNNNNNNNNNNNNNNNNNNNNNNNNNNNNNNNNNNNNNNNNNNNNNNNNNNNNNNNNNNNNNNNNNNNNNNNNNNNNNNNNNNNNNNNNNNNNNNNNNNNNNNNNNNNNNNNNNNNNNNNNNNNNNNNNNNNNNNNNNNNNNNNNNNNNNNNNNNNNNNNNNNNNNNNNNNNNNNNNNNNNNNNNNNNNNNNNNNNNNNNNNNNNNNNNNNNNNAGAACUUUCCACCUUGCUCUUGGGGAGACUCGAACUCACAACCUCUCGGUUGGAAGUGGGGGUUGCUUACCAUCAGAGCAACCCCUCUUGUCCAUAGUAAGGUACACCCUUUGAUUAAAUAUUUUAACCGAAGUAACUCAGAACAUCUAAAAGAAGGACUCAUUUUUACCUUGUGCUGCAGCAUUCAUGGAGAAGAAAACAGAGUUAAUUGCAGGGCCAUAGACAGUCUGUCCCAAAGCUAUUUUCUUAAAUGUUGUGAUGACGUCACGCUUUGGAAAACAUCUUGACAGAAAAUUGAACCAGAAAUGAAGUGAAGGUCCAAUAAUUAGUGCUCCAUAACCAGCCAUCCUCAAUGUUCGCGCGAGAUCAUACUGCGCCAUCAAUGACCCAGCAAUUGUCUGCAGAAUAGAGAGAGGCAAAGAACACGGGGAAAACGAUUAGGAACGUGUAAGGAUUUAUUCCACGGGUGAACCAGAAUAGAGAGAGAAACUAAAAGGGGGGCAGAUGAUGCACAAGACAGGUGAGAUGCAAAUUACAUAUUUAUAUGUUGAGCAAAACGGCAGAGAACUAACAGAUUUUGAUAUUUUGCGGCGCUGUUAAACAAGAUUUACCUGUUCUUUUUUGGACAAGUGAGAUUUUUAAGUACUAGUACUACACCAUACAUGAUACAACUACGCCCAGAAGGGAAACUAGCUAGUUUUGUGCUUAAUGUACUUAUUCCAGCUACUACUAGAAGAUAGCUAAUCAGCAAGGAGAUGAAGCAGAUUAGAAGCCCAUGCUCCUUCAACACUAAGGAAAAUAGAAUCUCCAAUUUUAGGCGGGUUUUCUUGUCAACCAUCGACCAAGAUGCAUAAGAGCAGUUUCCAGUGAUGCUGGACAGAAAGACAUAAUGGCAAAAAGCUAAAUUAUGUACUCUGAUUGUUCGUCUGUGUCAAACACUACACAAACCAUUUUCUGUGUGAAAUGACAAGGCUUUGGUUUGGUUACUUGGGGAAUCCCAGGAGAAAGAAUCUAUAAACUUCUAGGUCAAGUAGUAGGAAAGAAAGGGAGGUCAAGUAGUAGGAAAGAAAGGGACCUCUAACUCAAUUCAAUAACAUGUUUUAAGGCAUCUUUCUCUAAUAUUAAGGUUCACAUUGACCAGACAAGUCACAUCCUCAUCUCGCAGUGUGACAUCUGACAUUUAAGUUAAGCCAUUUCCUAAGUUGAGUCCUCUUUGAUAACCGAUGCUUCAGUUGCACCUCAUGAACUUAUUCAAGAAGUCCUAUUCUUAUAGAUGCCUUUAUCACUUGGAUCCACAGUGGAGAUGGGUCACAAACAGGAAGAAUAGUGUAUGUCCUAUAGUUCGAACUUCUAGAUGAAGAUGAAUCAGAAGCCACAACUGACUUUGAAUAGUGCAUAUCUUAGGGUGAGACUAUAACAGUUCGGAAUGUAAAGAAACCGAAAAAUACGAGGAAGCAAUUGCACGUCAGUUCUGAACUUUAUAGGUGAAAGAUUCAAUAAAGGUAUGGUCAGUAUGGAUAGACAUAGACCGCAGCUGCUACAGCGCACUAUUCUCUAAAUGAAAGAAAUGCAUUAAAUUUGAGAAGCAGAAGAGACAUCUAAGAGCUGCUGGGAUAAGUCCUUACUCAUAGGUUUAAGAUCACUUAUCCUAUACCUAAUACUAAGAGUAACUCUAUCGGGAACUUAGCAUCACCUAGCUAUUUUUUUCUGGUUGAACGAUGGUUUUCCCUAUUUCAGCUAUAUGCUUAAUUGAGGUGAAAAAAAGUAUCAGGAGGGAGGAAAGGAAAGAGGUCAAGAUCAUUUUUCUCUUUUGAUUAAAGAAGUAAAAAAGAAAGAAUACACAAAUUCUAUGCAACAAGCCAACAACUAUUUCAUAACCUCUUCAAUUGUAAACCCUUUGUCACUAAACCACAACAAUUAGACAAAUUUGGGUGCUUUUGGCAUGACAAAGAAUGUAUUCAUACAACAUACAUGAUUUCUUAAUCCUAAUAAUAAUUUUUUCAACAAAGCAACUUUCAAAGAAUCUUAAAACCUAUAUAUAAAGUAAACAAGAACGGAAGCAUUAUGCCAAACCAGAACAAGAAACAUCCAUUGAAAUAAAGAAUCUUUUUUAAAAAAAAUUAUUUAUGUAUUUGCUGCGAAUAAAGUACCUGUGAGGAGAAAUCAGCGGCAGUAAGAAUAAGGCCACAAGUAAUACUCUUGGUGAGAAUGGGCCGAGAGUUUAGCUUCUCUAAGUACCAACCCACGAACCCAACUUUUGAAGCAGAGUUUGAAACCCCUGAAAAGAAAGCCAGAAAACUAGGAUUUGACAACUCAACAAUUUCCUUAUUUUUCCUGUAAAAAGAUUGAGGUAGUCUUGAAUAGACUUUAGAAUGUUGAAGUUGGUGAUGAACAAUAUGGUUCUUGAAAUUCAAAGGUUCAAUGGAGGGGUUUUUACAGAGAUGGUGGAGGGUUUUAGAACCAUUUCUGAGGAAAAAAGCACACAUCUUUGUAUUUUUGGAGAAGAAAUGGAGAAACCCCAGGUGUAUUUUGUGGUUUGUAUUUAAGAGAAAAAAGCUGAAAAGGGGUCUAUUUUUUGUAGUAGGAAAGAGAAGGGAAGAGAAGAUGGAGCAGUCAGUGGUCAGAUGUGCAGCAGAGGAAGGGAACUAGUUAGCAAUUUUGCUACAAAGAUGGCCGUCAAUAAAUAGGAGCAAAGUGUAGAAGACAAAAUAAGGUAAGGUCACCGUCGUUUACCAAGCGCUUCCCUAAUUUUUCAUACACGUGUACAUCCCUACUCGCACUAGAAUAAUUUUUUUGCUUUUCUUUGUUUGAGUAAUUGUAUGAGUUUUUUAUUCUUCAUUUUACACAAUUAGAAAUUACUCUUACUAUUCUGUAUUCGAAAAUAUAUUUAAGAUCAGUAGAGAUGAAAAAAAUUAGAAAUGUAGAGGAAUAGAAAUUAAUUUGAGCAUAUUGAAUUCAUAGUAUUUUCUUAAGGAACUUAAUCCCCUUUUACUAUUCAAAAUUUAAAAUUAUUUACUCUCAAGAUAGAACGGACAACCUCACUGAUGUAACGGUACUUCAAUAACCAAUAAACUCAAAGAAUAGUAGCAAAUUAAAUUUUUUCGUAAGAAUAGUGCAAUAUGUUAUGACUAUUCACGUAAAAAAAAUCAUUACGUAAAUGGCUAUUCACGAAAAGUAAAAUGUGAAAUCAAAAUGCUAAGGAAAAUUAAUUUACCGUUACAAGAACCACUAAUUUGGAUUAAAAUAAUAUUAUGUUAAUCUUAAUAUUAUCUGCGGGAAUGGUCUGCUGUUUAUAGCCAACAUAUUGAGUUUAAACGAAGAGGUGCAACUUUUCAGAAUGUCUAUUAUGACUAUUAAUAAAUAAAUUUAAUCCAAAAAAUUAAACAAUCAAUCAGUUCAUUUGACUAAAGCCGAAGCGACAACACGAUACGAGGCUUGCUUUCUUCUUAACUCUUUAAGAGCUUGAAGAAGAGCAAUUGUAUAUAUACCCAUCAAAAUUCUUUUUCCUCCCCCAAUAGGGGACAAUGUCCCUUUGUUAAGAAGGAAAAAAAUAAAAUUUUAUUUUUCACUCCAUUUUUCAUUCACCCUCUUUAAGCUUAACGAAGCUUAAAAUUCCAACAACUACACCUAGGAGUACUAUUUCAUGAAAAAAAGAAAAUUGAAGAUCAAGAAUACUUCGAGACGAAUGAGUAAUUUCAACUUGGAGUUUAAUUUAAGAUUUUCUAUAUAUAACCUUUGCACAAUUGCACUUGAUGUUACACAAAUUUAUGUUUUUGUUCCUAUUAUUUCUAUUGACUUAGAAGGUAUUUGGCUAAGCUUAUAAGCUAGUUAAAUUAGUUUAUAAGUAUUUAUUGAUUUAUUUAAGUGUUUGGUAAAUUAAAAGUGCUUAUAAGUUAAGUGCUUAUAAGCUAAAAAUAAGUCAAAAAUUAUAAGCCAUAAGUUGGUUUCCCCCUACUUAUCAAAUUUCAACUUAUAAGUGCUUUAGGUUUGACCAAAAUAUUUACUAUUCUAUCCCUAAAACAUUUCUUUUUAAAACAAAAUUCUUCGUAGUUCUUCAGCUGUUUAUUAUUAAUUCUAUCAAUUUUAUCCAAAUAUAUAACUGUUUAUUUUCUAAAUCAAUUUCAAUACUUAAAAGUAGUUUUCAGCACCUAACACUUAUCAACUACUCUAAAUCAGCUAAGCAGCUCUUAACUUGUAACAUACACAUUUCUAACGUGACAGUAAUUCACACCGGCAUGCACUAGAAAAAACUAGAAAGUAGUAGUAGUAGUUAGUAUUAAACAUCGAUCCUAACCACACAUGUAUAUUUCUAUAACUUUCUACACCUUUUGUCCAAAUUAUUUGACUCCAUAUUAAAUUAUGAAACUUUAAAUAUGAAAAAGUAACAAGAGGGGUUGCUCUGAUGGUGAGCAUCCCCCAUUUCCAACCGAGAGGUUGUGAGUUCGAGUCUCCCCAAGAGCAAGGUGGAAAGUUCUUNNNNNNNNNNNNNNNNNNNNNNNNNNNNNNNNNNNNNNNNNNNNNNNNNNNNNNNNNNNNNNNNNNNNNNNNNNNNNNNNNNNNNNNNNNNNNUCUAUUUNNNNNNNNNNNNNNNNNNNNNNNNNNNNNNNNNNNNNNNNNNNNNNNNNNNNNNNNNNNNNNNNNNNNNNNNNNNNNNNNNNNNNNNNNNNNNNNNNNNNNNNNNNNNNNNNNNNNNNNNNNNNNNNNNNUCGAGUCUCCCCAAGAGCAAGGUGGAAAGUUCUUGGAGGGAAGGAUGCCGGAGGUCUAUUUGGAAACAGCCUCUCUACCCAAGGGUAGGGGUAAGAUCUCCAUACAUACUACCCUCCCCAGAUCCCACUAAGUGAGAUUAUACUGGGUUGUUGUUGUUGUAAAUAUGAAAAAGUCUUUUGUCCAUCUGUUUUGCAAGAUAAAAAUAUACGGUUUUAUUACUUUUUACACCUUUUAUCCAAAUUAUUUGACUCCUUUUUAUUCCUCUAAUAAAAAGUGGAAAAAAGUCCGUUGUCCAUUCUCUUUUGCGAAAUAAAAGAAGUUGGGGUGGUAUGAACUAUAUAAUCACGUUCUUUAUUUCUAUAGUGAUAGGAAUUUGGUAUGCUGGUGCCAUUACUUAAAUUGAAAUUUUAUCUGUUUAACAAUAUAUUCAAGGAAAAAAAAAGAAAAAAAAAGGCAAUGCCUGAGAGUAUUUGAUUAGCGCCGCGAGUACAGAAAAUCGGCUCCCACGCCGAAUCGCAUUGAAGGGUUUCCAACAUUUAAGGUAAUAGCACGUCAGCAACAACUUUUUGUUGACGUGAUUCCGCACUUCCAUUCUCCUUUUAACACGUGUUCAGGACUUCCAGCUCACUUCAUUCGUUGCUUUCUGAGUCCUCUAAGUUUUUCAUAUUUCUAGGAAGACCCCGUUCUUUUAAGUUAGCGUCACUUCACGUGCCAAAUUGCACUCCCCCGUUCAGGAAUUAUUUUUACUUCUGACUUGUUAACAUAAUUUUAUAGUUUACUUCUGUCUUGUUAACAAUAAUUUUAUAUGAAUCUUGUUUUGUUAUUUACACACUAUAACUUUUUUUUGGGUCAACUCUAUAAUUUAGGAUGGAAGGUUAAUAGAUGGUAGUGUGUUUUUCUGCGCUGUUUCGGGUUUGUGUAGUUUCUUAGAGGGCUAGUGUUAGAAUGGUUUUAAGUGCCAUCUUCCACUUAGGUUUUCUAGUACCUUACCAUUGUUACUUCUUGACAAUUACUACUGCUUUCUUCCAUGUUUUUCCGGUUCAUACAUUAUUGGUUGUAUUUUCCUAGCCUAUUUCUAUUUUUCGUCUUGAACGGAUGGUCUUUUGAAAACAGCUUCUCUAUUCUCAAGUUAGGAGUAACAUCUUCGUACACAUUACUCUCCCCAAACUCCAGUUGUGGGAUUCCACUGGUUGUAUAAUCUUGUUAUCUUCUUUGAGAGAAAGCCGCUUAACAAUCACCUUGGGUAUUUGGGGGGGGGGGGGGGGCCCUUUUNNNNNNNNNNNNNNNNNNNNNNNNNNNNNNNNNNNNNNNNNNNNNNNNNNNNNNNNNNNNNNNNNNNNNNNNNNNNNNNNNNNNNNNNNNNNNNNNNUUUUGGGGGGGGGGGGGGAGGCCCUUUUACUUUUCUCAAAACUGAAAUUAACAAUUCAACCAUAGAUACGGUGGCAUUAACCUUGUAUCUCUCUGAGUCCAAUUAUAGGUGAAGGUAAGCUCUAGUGAUGGUUUUUAAAAAACCUUAUAUGUUAGCUGGUGCUAACAUGAACUGCAUUGAACAUGAGGUUUCGAACCUCGGUAAAACUGUCAAACUACAUAUACAAUACAGAAGAUAUGUUGUGAUCCCAUAAAGCAACUUUACGAAUGCUGCUUUCCAACUAUAUUUCGAACUAUUUGCAUCCAAAGUCAUAGGGAGCUAGUCCUUUCAGCUCAGGUCCAUUGAGUCUGUUGUGUGCAAAACUGAAACAAGAACAAAGUAUAAUUUUGUUAGGUCUCGUGCGUGUGGUCAAUUCAUGAUCAGAUUAGACCGGAAAAUCAGAAGGAAGUUGGAGGAGCAAAGGAAACCGAGGCAUAUGUAGCUUAAAAGUUCUAUCGAACUCUCAUCGGGUAGAACUUUAUUUUUAAGACUACAAAAAACGCAAUGCAGAAAGCAAAAUCUUUGGUUGCUCAUUUUACGAAAGACAGUUGAACUUGCAACUCAUUUCGUAAGGUAUAACAUGCAAAAGAAAUUACCCACACAACCAUCAUCACAACAAUAAGAAGAACAAAAAUCUAAAUCUACCAUUAAAAUACAAUACAGAAUUGAAAAAUCCAACAUGUGUGAUACCAGAACAGCUCCUUUUCUCUUUUUUGCCAUUUGCAGUUUCAUUUUGAUAUUCGAGCACUGGUUGCAGCAUUAAUAUUGCAUUCAUCUGAUUUUAACUAGUCUGAACAGAAAGAGUUUGCAAGAGCAAUGGAUGGUGUCUGACUCAUAUCAUGCAAGAAUCAGCAUCUAAUAACAAUCGAGGGCAUAUAGUAGAUGCAUGAUUUACAGGCUAGUGCAGCUACACAAGUGUAAUUCCAGUAGCACCAACUGGGGUAGGAGGAUCACUAAUCACUACCUAUCAACCAAAGUCAUCAACUACUAACUAAUGAUUUGACAAAAGGUAGUCAUUUCAAGAGGUAAAAUUAUACUUAAUGAUGCAGGGAGUGCAUUCAAACCUGCUGCCUAUGAAGCAUAAGCAAAAUUUUAACAUGACGCAAUUGGCUUUUUCAAAAGAAUACUUCCCCUGACAACUAAAGGAAUGAGGCUUAUAUCAACUUUCACCAAUAGAAUGGACAGUUAUACACUGAACCAUUUUCAUAUCAAUGGAUUGCAUAAAGCAUGUCAGAUACUGUAAGACAAAGAACAUCAACAAAGGAAAACAAAUGACGAGAGCACAUACCCUUCCAUAGGAAAGCUUCCAAAGGGGCCAUCAACAGGGAUUGUUCCACAAAGAUCAUUAUUAGAAACAUCACUGCAGCAAUGAGAUUAAAAAAGAUUCACUCAAGUGAAUUCAAGACCAUACUCUUUGAUUGUCUUUUUCUGUUUCUUGGUAAAUAUGAAGGUGACAGCUUGUUUGAUAGUAUUUGAAAAAGAACUUACAAUACUUUAAGGUUGGGGAGGGUGGUGAGUUCCCUUGGAAUCGAACCAGUUAGCUUGUUGUCGUUUAACCGCCUACAGGUUAUAUAACACAGAAAAAGAUUCAAUCUUUGUAACAUAAGUAAAGUACGACCCAGUACAAUACCACUCAGUGGUGUCUGGGGAGGGUAGUGUGUACGCAGNNNNNNNNNNNNNNNNNNNNNNNNNNNNNNNNNNNNNNNNNNNNNNNNNNNNNNNNNNNNNNNNNNNNNNNNNNNNNNNNNNNNNNNNNNNNNNNNNNNNNNNNNNNNNNNNNNNNNNNNNNNNNNNNNNNNNNNNNNNNNNNNNNNNNNNNNNNNNNNNNNNNNNNNNNNNNNNNNAUCCCCAGAAUUUGCUCCUGGGGAGACUCGAACUCACAACCUCUCGGUUGUAAGUGAGGGUUGGUUACCAUCAGACCAAGCCCCUCUUGUCAAUCUUUGUAACAUAAGUGUCUGCUAAAAAUUGUCAAACUCACAAAUCAUUGAAUGACAAUACUUACAAAAACCGAAGAGACUUUAGUUUAGCAAAAGACUUGGGAAUAUUGCCUUCAAAUCUAUUUCCAUAUAGGUCCAUGCUAAUAAGAUUUUCCAAAUUACCCAAUUCCUUUGGGAUUUUGCCUCCUAUGUUGUUCCUAUAGAGUUCCCUGCAAUUCAGGAAAAAGGUUUGCCCAUCACCUUAAAGACACAUAAGAAAGUAGGAAAGUUGCAUAUAAAGAAGCACACAAGAAACUUGAAGACAGAAACAACAUUAAUCAUGUGACAAUAAUCUAUACACAUUUCUUUGUCUAACAAAAGCCCCUUUUCAGUUACUUUUUCCACGGUUUCAGUUCAACCAACAGGAGAUACUAAAGCUGAGACAAGGAAAAAAAACAAGAAAAAGAGGUAAAAAGAGAAAUACAGGUAUUGUAGAUUCUUGAGUUCACCAAGCUCUGGUCCUAAAGUUCCAGAAAUAUUAGUAUUGCCCAAAUCCCUGAAAAUUUUCAAAGAUUAAAAAAAUUAUAUGAAUUGCCAAUGGGGAACACAAAACAAAAGAAAAAAAUCGACAGAAAUAAGAAAAUGAUGUAGAAUCUUACAGGCGAAUAACAUGAUUAUUGGAGUCGCAGGUGAUAUGAAACCAGGUACAAGGAUUAACAAGAGUAGGAUCCCAGCUCUGUAGAACAUUUGCUGGGUCAGAGAGUCUGCUUCUCAAAGCAUGUAGAGCAUUUCCUGAAAGAUGAACACAACAAAAAAUUUUAGGAAGAUGGGUCCAUUUCAAGAUUUAAAUUUUUUUCUGCUUUUAUAUAAGGAUGUUCAUUUCGAAAUUUAACUCAAAUCCCUUGAACUGAAAAAACUGUAUACACUAAUGAAUGAAAAGAAAACCAAAGUGGGGUACACAUGGUAACAAAAAGCUAAAAGCUUUAAACCCUAGGAAUGACAAAAGAAAUACAUGGGGUAAAGUUUUAGUGAAUUUACCUUCAGAAUUUGUGGAGAAAGCAGGGGACAGAGAUAGAAGGAUGGUGAUGAAGAAGAAGAAGAGAAAGGAGGAAGGAAAAUCCAUUGAGAGAGAGAGAGGAGAAAAUUGGUGGAAUUGAGAAGUCAAGAAGUAGGCAAAAGUAGAGGCAGUAAUAGAAGUAGAACCAAUAAGAGUAGAGGUCAAGUCAAAUCUGGAAGCUGUCCUUACUGUUGAGAGUUGUGUUAUUAAGAGAGGAAGUGGAUGAGUGUUCACACUCUCACUGUGAGCUUUUGUGUGCAACAAACUCUCAACCCUCAAGGCCUCAACUGAAAUUUCAAGCUCAAUAAUAUUUCUUAGUUAAUUUUAAACUUUUGUUUCUACCCUAUAAGGCGGAAUUUUUUUUUUAAAAUUAUCUUACAAACAUUUAAGGUGUAUUAGUAGGGAAAAUUUCACAUUAGAACAACUGAGCUUCAUAUUUUUCAAUUUUAUAAUAUGUAUUUCAAUUUACAAUCAACUAGUUCAAAAAUAAUAGGUUAAGAUUCAACAUCCAACUCCUCUCAAAAUUACUAUUUAAUUUUAAAAAAAAAUUUCUCAAGCUUUUAAAUUAAUUUUCAAAUCAGUAACUUUAACUCAAAUAUUAAUUCAACAAAUUAAUUUCAUUUGAACGGUGAAAAUUAGAUUUUGAACAAGUUUAAAUAUGUGGGUUUAAAUUUCGAAUUUGAUUUUGUGAGAAAUUUGAAAUGGGUAUUAUUUAGACUUGUUAGAAAUAAUAGAAAUAGUAUAAGGAUGUUGUAUAUAAAAUUUGAAGUCAUUUAAUGGAGAUUUGGAUUGGUUAUGAACAAGAAUUGCAACUGAAAAUCGUGGAAGUUCGUCUACGUUGUAUAAAGAUGUAUAAAAGUGUAUUUCUAACUGAUAUACAUUAUUAUACAAGAUUAUACAUAAUUAUACAAAAAACUUACUUGGUCUUCUUCCUUAUGUUUUUUCAUGAAAUUUAACUCAAAUCUUGCCCAAAUCUACUCCAAAUCACUUCAAAUUUGAACUCCUUUUGAUUUUCUCAAUCAAUGGGAACACUCAAUCCAAACAACUAACAAAUUAAAAAAAAAUAUUUUCAAAAGCAAAUCUUUGAAUGGUCUUCAAUGGUGGACCUCUAAUCUUCAAUUUUUUUAUAUUGCAAGCAGAUUACAUAAGAGCAGAAGUAGGAAAUACACGGUCCCUUAAAGUAUAUAUAGAAGAUGUGAGAAGAAGAGAUAGUGAAAGCAAUGGUUAACAAAGAAUUAACUUCAUAGCUUUUAGAAGCAAUUGUUGUAAGAACAUAGAUUUUGAAUUUGCUAUUGCUUUCAAAAUAUAUACACUGUGAGCUAGGUAGGUUAAAACUUAAAAACAUGAGUCAUUUUUUGUUAUGGUGUGAAGUCAAAGUGUAUUUUCUUGUAAUUCUUUCUUAUUAAUAUUAAGAACUAACUGGCAAAGGAUGAGGAAAAAACAGAGUGCCAGCUAAAAGACUUCUUUCUUAACUUUAUCAUGUAAUUCUCCACCCUGAAAAGUGUAUUGUAAGUUAAAAGUUGGAUUUUAUUAGUAAGUAAUUUAUAUUUAAUGAUCAUUUUUGGAAAAAGAUACUCUUUAAAGUAGAAAUUAGUCAUUUAGUCCAAACUUUUUAUAGGACCCAAAUUGAUGAAAUCAAAUAAUGAUGUCUCAGUUUCAAAUUGGCUAGAUUUGAUUAUAUAAAUCUUCUACAUUUAUUCCACUAUAUUUGUUCUCUAAAAAUUAAAAGUUAAAAGAAUCUGAUAUUUCUUCCAACACUAACUACAAACGUUUAAUUAGACUAAAUGGCUCAUGCCAAUCAUCAUACUUUGUAAGUGUAUAAACAACUUAAGACUUACUAGUUCGUAUUGCAGGUUCUUUGAGAAAAUUUCCGUUACAUGAUUUUUUUUUCCAAGACCUAAUUUUAAGGCCUACAUAAGGCCAAAACUUUUUUUCCAGCACGAGAUUUUAGAGCAUCGGGUUGCUCUUUUUUCUUUUCUUUUUAUCCUUUAUCUGUGUAAUUACUUACACUAUCCGGAAAUGCAAUCAUUUCUGAUAUUGGCCUUAUCAUGUCACUGGUGAGGAAGCUGACAUAAUCAAAGGCGCAUCUAACAUUUAAAUCCUAUGGAUUCAACUUUUGAAGAUUUAGCAUUGAACUCAUCAUAUAUUUAAAGUUAUGGGUUCAUAUCUACUAUUUUUAUAAUUUUAAUAAACUUUUAUAUAUAAAUUUUUACCCCGCGUCAAAAGUUAUGAGUUUUACCCGUCAAGGAUGCACUACAUCCGCAUCUGGACAUAACGGCUUGAUUCUCAAAAGAAAGUGAACAAGUGUUGCAAAAAAGGGGAUGCAAAGGCACACGUCAAAUAGAUUAUCAGAACAAAUUCAGCCAAGUUAAACUCAUUCAAGUUUACAAAUUCACACUUUGCUUUCAUAACUGCCACAAUAAAAGCAGGUUUGUUACUCCCAACCGAUGAAGACAAACAUCUCUACAGAUUUUACAGCUCACUCAGAAACAAAACAAAAAAGGAAUUUGGGCAAAAGCAUAGUUCUGUACAGAUUUGCAGCACUCUUUCUUUAAAUUGUAACCUUCAGUGACACAUUCUGAAGCAAAACAAAGUAGCAUUCUAACUGUAUUGACCUCAAAAAAGAACAAAAAGUUUCCAUCUAACACGAGACCACUUUACGAGAAUGUACGAAAGCAUGGGAGAAGAAAAGCAAAGAAUUACGAAAUUUCUAAUCUAAAACAGAUCAUAGAUUCUUCACUCUGUCGCACAAGCAUAAUUUCUAAGAAAGUGAAACGGCUCAGAUUUUCAUACUUCCUCCACGGUUCUCAUCCUCUCCUCUUCUUCAGCCUUUUGCCAGGCAGCCUAAGGAGGCAGAAAAAAGAACAUUAUUUUGCAGUAGUUUUGGAGGUUAUAAAUCAGUAUAUAAUGAAUAAAGAAUAGAGCACUUACCUUGUCCCGCUGAAGUCUAGACAUAUGAGGACGCAUAGAGUUCCCCAGACUUAAGCCUCCCCAAGCUUCUUGCAACUCUCUUUCCCUCGUCUCUUUCCGAGUAACUGAAUGUCUUAUCUGAUUAUCAUCCUCCUGCUUAACAGCGGCCAUCUUUUCUCUCUCAAGUCUGGACUUGUGUUUCACCAGAAUUUGAUCCAAACUGCCUUCACUGUUCUCCAUUUGUUUACCAAUGGUGUCCCUCUUCUUUACAUUCAUCCAAUUGUCUUCCUUUGCAUGAAGAGACAUUUUCUCUUUUUCAAGCUUCGAGACGUGCUUCACUAAAAUCUUGUCCAAACUUUCGCAAUCUGUUGCACCAUUAGCUUCAAUCUUUCUUUGACGCCUCUGUGCAACGUAGUCGCUUCUUGUGGAUGAUUCUUGCAUUUUAAGCUUUUGCAAACGAUGAACUGGCUUUACUAGGAUCUUGUCCAGACUAUUCGCUGCUGCUUUGUUUUCAUCCUGGAUUGACAAUGCGCCUGCUGGCUUUGAUGGUUGUUCUCCACAACAAGGAUUUUCGUCCAUAUUUGUAUCAUGAUUUACAUUCUGGUCAACAUUUUCUUUUCCUACCAAUGAGGUAGUCUCAGAUGCAUUGGCAAUCGGUUCUGCAGUGUUUUUCCUAUUUUUUGCUUCUUGAACUUCCUUUUCAAGUCUUGUCAUAUGUUUCACCAGAUAAUCUUCUAGUCUAGGAACUUCCAUUUCAAGUUCCUUUUUUCGACCAAUUGCCACAGUACCCAAUCUGUUCGAAUUAUUGCCCUCUGUUUCACCAUUCUUCCUCUUAGCCUCUUCAAUCUCUUUCUCAAGCUUUGAAGAAUGCUUAAUCAGCACACUGCCAAAGGCAGGAACCUCAGAUGAAUGCUCAUUGCUAUUUGAAGCUUUACAUUUGCUUUUCAACAACACUUCGGAAUUGUUCUUGGCCUCUUCAAUUUCCUUUUCAAAUUUAGAAGAAGGCUUCUUGAGAAUACUUGCCAGAUCAUGGCCUGAAUCUGUUUGGUGUUCUGAAUGAACCACUUUAUCGCCAGAUUUAUCUCGUGUUUGUUCACUUUUUUCCCCAGCUUCACUCCUAGCAUUUUUGGCUUCUAACACCUCCCUUUCAAGUCUUGUUAACCGCUUCACCAGAAACUUAUCGAGGCUCGGAAGUUCCUCAUUUGUCCUGCUUGUCUUCCCAUCCAAAUUAUAUCUGUCAACUGCUCCUUCUCCAACGGAUAAUUCUGAUUUGUCAUCAGCGGCGGACCCUGAAACAUGCGGUUUGAUCUUUUCUGCUUCAGCUAGAGCAGCGUUCAAUCCACACGUUGCAACUAUAGUGGCAAGAGAUGCAAGUUCAUCCUCUUGCAAACAUCUAAGUCUUUCCAGCAUCAUUUCCACAAGAUUUGUCAUAUUGAACUUUUCACAUGCUUGCCUCUUUUUAUAUUUCCUUUGCACAGAUUUUGUCUCGGAAUCUGUGACCUCAGAACAAAGGCUCUCCAAUUCAGAAGCCGUAUCUGAUUCACAUUCUGAAGAGAACUCCGACAGUUCUUGAUGAUUAUCGUCUGUUUCAGGGUUCUGACAUAUUCUGAGUAGCAGUUCCUUGACUUCAUCUUUGUUCAUGGAAGGGCAAUUAGCAAGCUUAAGAAGGGCAGCCUUAAGUGCAGUUGCUACUUGUUUAUCCACCUCAAAUGCAGUUUCAAAAGAUGUUCUAACUGUAUGAGUCGUGGGUCCUCCUCCUUUUGCCGGUGACUUUUCUAUUUUGUAAUGCUUCUGUGAGCAAUCAGGAAUGUCAUACAAGAUCACUCCAAUAGCUGUUGCAGCUUCAAAAGCUUCUGCAGAAAAUUUUUCUGCCUUUAUCAGUACUUGUUCUGCUUCUUUACAAUCAAUCCUGUACGGCAGAUACAGAAGGAGUAAGUUCUAGAAUAUAUAUGAAGAACACUCUAUUUAUUCGAUCGGAUCAACAAUGUCUUAAUCAAUAAGUUAAGACUGGUAAUACAGAUUUUAUGUAUCCAAUUUGCACAUUUUCCUCCAAUACCAAAUACAAAAACAACAACUACAACAACCCAGUAUAAUCUCACUUAGUCGGGUCUGGGGAGGGUAGUAUGUACGCAGACCUUACCCCUACCCUUGCGUAAAGAGGCUGUUUCCAAAUAGACCCCCGGCAUCCUUCCCUCCAAGAACUUCCCACCUUGCUNNNNNNNNNNNNNNNNNNNNNNNNNNNNNNNNNNNNNNNNNNNNNNNNNNNNNNNNNNNNNNNNNNNNNNNNNNNNNNNNNNNNNNNNNNNNNNNNNNNNNNNNNNNNNNNNNNNNNNNNNNNNNNNNNNNNNNNNNNNNNNNNNNNNNNNNNNNNNNNNNNNNNNNNNNNNNNNNNNNNNNNNNNNNNNNNNNNNNNNNNNNNUUCCCUCCAAGAACUUCCCACCUUGCUCUUGGGGAGACUCGAACUCACAACCUCUCGGUUGGAAGUGGGGGUUGCUUAACAUCAGAGCAACCCUUCUUCUUGUCUAAAACCAAAUGCUAAUUAGCAAAUCGAUUUCCUAAAAUUUACACUAAUCCUUAUACAGACAGACAAAUCUCUAAUCAGAAUAAAACAACUCAACUUGUGGCAAACACCAGAUCCAACGUAAGUGUAACGACUACACAUAAACGAAUAUUAAAAUUUAAAAUGCACACCUUGCUGCUUGAAGUAUUCGGCACCAUGAUGUUUCAACAAGCGCAGCCUUCCGAGAUUCCAUAGCUCUUUGAGCAGCUUCUCUUACUGCAAUUUUUUCCCUCAAAACUCUACAAUAGUGGGGAUUAGCAUCCCCCAAAGUCUCAUCAAGUGUUGAGUUCAUUCCGUCAACUUCCUGAAAAUUCAUAUCCAAAAAUCCAAAUGAGAGAAAGUAAGAAGAGCAAAUAAAGUAAAUAACAAUGGCGAUCUUUUUGUUGGCAUAGUGAAGGCCGAAAACACUAUCAAUACUUCUAUAUUGACAAUAAGAAAAAGAUGCACAAACAUAUAAAUACCUGGAGCAUUCUUAUUUUCCUCUUCAAAUAGGAAUCCACUUUCUUGCGAGGGAACCAAUUUAUAGGCGAAGUUUUUCGAUGAGGGGGCUUCCUAAUUUGUGAUGCAGAUUUGUUUAAAGAAACUAAAUUUGACUGGCCACCUUCUUUCGUGGCCUUAGUCUGCACUAUUCCAAAACAACAAAUGAGAAACCAAAACUGAACAAAGACCCAACAAAGCGAACAUCUGAGAAAAUAUGUAUAUAUAUAUAAAACUUUUAAAGUGAAGACUUGAUAUAUCAUACUAUAUGCCUAAAGUUGCAUUUUCAUGAAGCCUACUUAUCAACUGGCUCAGUUAUAACGAAGAGUUAAGUUUCAUCAUUACCGUUAUACCCACAUAAAAAUUUACAUUUUUUAACCAAGUGGCUAACGAUAGAUUAGAAUCAAGAUUAACAUGGGGGGGGGGGGGCCAAAUUAAGACAGUUCUUGAUGAUUAUUGUCUGUUUCAGGGUUCUGACUUAUUCUGAGCAGCAGUUCCUUAACUUCAUCUUUGUUCAUGGAAGGGCAAUUAGCAAGCUUAAGAAGGGUAGCCUUAAGUGCAGUUGCAACUUGUUUAUCCACCUCAAAUGCAGUUUCAAAAGACGUUCUAACUGUAUGAGUCGUGGGUCCUCCUCCUUUUGCCGGUGACUUUUCUAUUUUGUAAUGCUUCUGUGAGCGAUCAGGAAUGUCAUACAAGAUUACUCCAAUAGCUGUUGCAGCUUCAAAAGCUUCUGCAGAAAAUUUUUCUGCCUUUAUGAGCACUUGUUCUGCUUCUUUACAAUCAAUCCUGUAUGGCAAGAUACAGAAAAGGUAAGUUCUCUUUCAAUCAUUAAACAAUUUCUCAAUUACAAACAAGUUAGGAUUGGCUGUAUAAAUUUUAUGUAUACAGUUCGCACAUUUCACUCCAAUACCAAAUAAUUAGCAAAUCAAUUUACUAAAAUUCAAACUUAUCAUUAUAUAGAUAUACAAAUCUCUAACCAGAAUAAAAUACGAUAAGGAGUAGCUAAUUCAAACAACAACAACAAAACCCAGUGUAAUCCCAUGAGUGGAGUCUGCGUACGCUAUCUUGAGAAGGUAGAGAAUAUGUUUCCAAUAGACCCUCGGCACAACGAAAGAUGCAAAAAGAAGCAGUAGCAACAAACCAUAACAUCAGCAAGAUAACAAGAAAACCAAAGUGAAAGAAACAACAUGCAAUACUAGAAAAUCCCGAAAAAUAAGAAUGUACAAGACUUACCUAAUACUACCGGGUUGGAGUAGGAAAACGCACGUUUACCUACUAACCAAAAACACUACUAACCCCUCCGGUAAAAUAAGAAUAGCCCCCAUGUCCUAACCCCCCUUUUCCCAUUAGCAAGAACCUGUUUCAGUUGCAUAUCCUCAAGGAAAAACCGUUUUUGGAGCCUCAAUCUCUGGAUCUAACUUAACUGUAACAAAAACUACGCGUAGGUGAAUAUUAAAAAGCUCACCUUGCUGCUUGAAGUAUUCGGCACCAUGAUGCUUCAACAAGUGCAGCCUUACGAGCUUCUACAGCUCUAUGAGCAGCUUCUCUUACUGCAAUUUUUUCCCUCAAAACUCUACAAUAGUGGGGAUUAGCAUCCCCCAAAGUCUCGUCAAGGGUUGAGUUCAUUCCAUCAACUUCCUGAAAUUACGUAACAGGCCAAAACACUAUCAGUACGUAUCUGUAUAUUGACAGUAAAAAGAAUGCAUAAGCAUAUAAAUAUACCUGGAGCAUUUUUAUUUUUCUCUUUAAAUAGGAAUCCACUUUCUUGCGAGGGAACCAAUUUAUAGGCGAAGUUUUGCGAUGAGGGGGCUUUCUAAUUUGUGAUGCAGAUUUGUUUAUAGAAACUAAAUUUGAUUGACCACCUUCUUUCGUUGCCUUAGUCUGCACAAUUUCAAAACAAAGAAAUGAAAAAACAGAACUGAACAAACACCAAACAAAGCGAACAUCUGAGAAAAAAUUUCAAGUCAACUACAUUCGACAGGCGGUUGUCUUUGAUUGCCUUAUUCUGCAGUUUCUGAAAGCAAGAAAAUGCAAAUGCCAAAGUUGGAAAUAUACCACUCAAAGUGAGCAUUUUUGUGAUUUUGUUUAAAAGUAGUAACUAAAUUUGACUGGCCACCUUCUUUCAUUGCCUUAAUCUGCACUAUGCAUAAAGAACAAAAUGAAAAACCAAAAGUGUAAUAAUAGAAUUAUCAAAGCAAAUAUUUUCAUUUGGCCACAUUCUUUGAUUGCCUUGUCGCGCACUCAUCAAAAAGCAAGAACAUAAAGAAACAACUGAAAUACAGUCAAUAAAGGGUUUUUCUUCCUAAUUAAGAACAAGGGUUUUGAAAACCCCAAAUUAAAAACAAAACCAACUUAUAAACUAACAUAAGGAAAAUUGAGAUAAUAAAUUAAAUUAAAGAGAAUUACUUUCUAAGAGCUGGGGGAAAAAAACCAUGGUACCUUUCCGAGUUUGGAAGUAGCCGUUGUAGAAGCGGAGGGACUGUUCUCCGAAGUAGAAACAGUGUGAUUCAUAGGCUUCUUUUCAAUGCAACCCAUAUCAAAACAACCCAAAUCCAUUCUCCAGAAAAAUUAAUUAAUGGAAAUAGAAUAUUUACUAUGCUUGUAGAAGUAAAAAGAAAACAAUUGAUCAAAUGGCGUUGAGAAUUUGCACUAUUAUCAAGCGCUGAAAUCAGUAGAGCAGAGAGACAGAGAAAUUAGGGCGUUUCUUGAAUAUGAAUUGAUUUCUGAAGACAGAGGGAGUGAAACAAUUGUUGAGGUGGGAUUCUAGGAGGGGGUAUAGCUUUUGAAGGAAACUAUCCGUUACAACCGAUCCUUUCGCUCGCAACGGUCCUUUUUCUUUAUAGUAAAAUUUUUGCUCUUCCCCUUAUACAACAACAACAAUAACUACCAAGUAUACUUUCACCAGGUGGGGUAUGGGGAGAGUAAUAUGUACACAAGCCUUACCCCUACCUAAGCUCUUCCCCUUAUAAUUCAUCUAAAAUUAAAUAAAUAUUUACUCCUAAUAAAUCCAGGGAUUAAAAAAAGAUACUCCUAAUAAAUAAGACAAAGAGUGUGUGAUUAGUGUACUGUUACAAUUUCAUAGUUGUAAUUUCAUGGAAACUUAUAGAAAUAUACCAUAUAAGUUUCAACUUAUCAGCCCGUUUGGCUAAAAAGUUAUUCGAACACUUAAUUAGCUUUAAAACAAUCAAAAAUGAUAUGGGUCAAUCAUAAUCAAGCGUAAUGUGAUCUAGAGAAUGUUAGAUGAUAAAAAUCGGAGAUUAUAAUGUAUAGAUCGAGGUAUAGAGCAAUAAGAUAUAUAACAGGUUUGUUUGUACAAGAGAGAGAGUUGUAUAUUCUCAGUAAGGAAAUACACGUAAGUCUUUACAAAGGGAGAAGGUCCCCUUUAUAUACUAAUGGACCUUCCUUGAAAUAAUACAAAAAAAGGUACAAGAGUUGGUGGCCUCGAUAUAUGAGUGUCAGAGCUUGAUAUGACAUUACAUUGAGUCACAUCACUUGGUCUGUUUAUUGACUGGGACCGGCCUUACUUAAGUCAACCAUAAUAAGGCCGUCUUCUUUAGUAAGGUCGUAUGUGGAUAAUAUGUGGACGUGGGGAACCAAAUUUGUCCAGUACAGAUAGUACUUCCGUUUAUUGGGGACGCAGUCGAAAGGCGUUUCCAAUGGACGGACAUGCAUGCUUGACGCCUAUGGAAAUUUGGUCGUUCCUGUUGAUACCUCUGUGAGAGACGCUUCGUGUGUGAAUAGGACAUGCCGUUGACAUAUUACCUCCUUUUUGGAAUUUCUUUUUGAGGUGACGUCAUCGAACGCAUGCGUGAUCAUCGCGUUCGUGUGUGAAAAGGUCAUGUUGUUGGCAUGUUACCUUGUUUUUGGAAUUUUUUUUUUGAGGUGACGUCAUCGAUCGCAUGCGUGAUCAUUACUUCUGCUCCAGAGGUGGUUCAGGUUAUGAUGUGACGUUUGGGUUUCCUGCGCCGAUUUUUUGAAUCAUGCCCUUUCGAUCUCCGUGUACAUUUUCUUAUAAAUAGGUGGAGAGUUGGACUAGGUUCAUCUUUCGAUCCUUUUCGAAGAGUAUUUCCUCACUCUACCCUUUUCUUACAUCAUUCACUAUGGCUAAACGUAGGCGUGAUGAUAACAGAACCAGGGACGUCACUUCUACUAGGGCUUCGUCAUCCUCGGACGGCGAGGAGGCCUAGGAAGUUUUUAUUCCUCUAUCAACAGCCAACCUGCUCCCACGCGAUUUGAGCAAAAGGAGCGACGUCCUGAAUAAGCGUAAAUUCCUCCCUUGGGAGCAUAGUGAGAUGACGCUGUCCCACUUGGCCUCUCUCAGGGAGACCUAUGAUAUUCCCGAUCACGUUUACAUGGUUCCCGCGGGGCUAGAUUACGCUAACGUGCCUAGGACCGGGUACUGUGCCUUCUACAAAUACGUCUUUGGAAUUGGAUACACCCUACCAAUUUACCGAUCUUGAGGCGGAUCUGGUCUUCGUCGGCACAUCCAGGGGCAGUGCUUUAUAUUCCCGAUCAUGUUGACAUGGUUCUUGCAGGGCUAGAUUACGCUAACGUGUCUAGGACCGGGUAUUGUGCCUUCUAGGAAUACGCCUUUCGAAUUGGAUACACUCUUCUAAUUUACCUUUUAGCGGAGGAGUUGUGUCGCUGGUUUGGAGUGUGUCCGGCCCAACUUACCCCGUAUGCCUUGAAGGUGUGCAUGGUAGUAUCCGUUUACGCGGCAAAGGCCGGAAAAGAGGUGACCGUUCAUCACCUUUUGCAAAUGUUCAAUGUGGUUUUCAUGAGGGGCUCGAUGCUCCAGUUGAGGAGCAGGGGCAAGAAAAGCUUCGUGGCGCAUGUGGAUGACAAGGCCAAUCGUAAAUAUUGGACGAGGUUCUUCUUCAUCCGUACCGAGCACCUUGUGCCCAACCCUAAUGGGUUUCUAGAAGUGUGGAAUGACGCACGUAAGUAUUGUUGUGCGUGAUGUUUACUAUUUUAACCUUACAAUGGAUUUCCAGAAGUGUGGAAUGACGCACGUAAGUAUUACCGUGCGUGAUGUUUGCUAUUUUGACCUUACUUUGCUGGUUCUCGCUGUCGAAAUUCCUUUGUUUUCAUGCAGUGGCUGCUCGCCUCCUCGUAGUGUUGUCGAUGUUAGGUCGUGGGUGCAGGCGCUGAUACCGUUUGCAUAGGAAGCCGUUCUUGGACUGAAUUCCUUAGGCUCCACGGCCCCGCUGGUAACGGUUUUACCUAAUCUUUGUUAUAGUUUGGGGGCCCAUAUAAUUUUCUUACCCGUCUCACAUGUGUUUUGGCAGGUCGGGGCGCCUAUAAGAAGGCGAGGAAGAAGAAGCAGCAGCAGAAGAAGAAGACUGCGGCCGGUCCUUCUAGGACGGUAUCCGAUCCUGAGGCGGAUUUGGUCCUCGCCGGCACGACCAUGGGCAGUGCUUCGCCCCCUUUAAGAUAGGAGGGUACAUUAGAAGCGGCUCCCGAGAUAACAUCUGAGGCCAUGAUGGGGAUUGUACGUGAGACGGCAUCCAUGGAGGUGCUGUCGACUGUCCCUGAGAUUUCCCCCGUAAGGAUGCCUUCUGCCGCGCCAACCCCCUCUGAGCAUGCUCCACACUCUGCAGAAGGGGACCGUGAAGCAUAUGAGACGUUUUAGAGGAGGUGGCAUCAGAUCCUUACUGGCAAAAACGUGUCCAACUAGUCGGGAAAGGCUAGGCCAUCUUGCCCUGUAUCAAGGUCGACUUUUAUGGCAGAGUUUAUUCGCUCAAGAAGAGCUUAUCUUAGGAGGGAGGCCGCGGCGAGGAGAAGUGAAGACAUAGAUGUGGCGAGCUCGGGGGAAGCCACGGAGGGCGCAAAUAGAGGCAGCGGGCCCUUGGAUCGGGUGGAGAUGAUGGACGGCCAAUCUUCUCGUCGUAUAGUGAUCCCAAGGCACUAUAAUUUGCUGGAGAACUGCGAGGAGGCAGCCUCCAGCAUGACGCUCUUGUGCGCUGGUGCCGAGCGAGCGAUCCUGGCGGAGCUUAGUGAUAAAACCUUGGCCAAAAGGGUGGCAGGCGCGGCCCUACAGGUAUGCCUCUGCCUUGGUUGAUGACCUUUCUUUAUGUAGGGUUAUGAUUUUCCCGUGCUUACUUGGUCUCUUUUCCAGACUCUUGUCUUGGAGGUGGAGAGGGAUCGGCGCCGGAAAGAGAAGAUGGCCAAAUAUAACCGUUCUUGUGUGCCGGUGCCGAGCGCGCGACCCUGGCGGAGCUUAGUGAUAAAGCCUUGGCCAAAAGGGUGGUAGGCGCGGCUCUACAGGUAUGCCUCUGCCUUGCUUGAUGACCUUUCUUUAUGUAGGGUUAUGAUUUUCCCGUGCUUACUUGGUCUCUUUUCCAGACUCUUGUCUUGGAGGUGGAUAGGGAUCAGCGGCGGAAAGAGAAGAUGGCCAAAUACAACCGGCUGUCGCAGAAGUACAAUAAGGCGCGCGAGGCGCAUCGAACCAUGGCCGACAUGUACAAGCAGGACCCCAACUUUAGAGUGGUUCGUGAGGGACUAAUGGAGUCCGAGGUGCAACUGAAGAAAAGAGUGGCCGAGCUGGAAAAGGUGGAUGAACAGCUCAUGGACACUGUUGCUCGGGCCGCGAAGAUGGAGGUCCUUAUCCAAGCCAAGGACGAGGAGCUACAGCUCGGUCGUGUUGUGGCGGAGGAGGCGGCAGAAUUGAGCACCCGGUGGUGGCUCUAACAGAGGAACUCAAAGCCACGAAGGCCGAGGUAGAGGAGCUUAAGCUAGCUCUCACGCAAGCCGAUACGUCUCGUGAGGCGCAUGAGAUGUUGGUGUAUGCGGAGGCCAGGUUGGUCGUGUUUGAGGAAUUCCUGGCGGCUGGUCGAGCGAUUGAAGCGGAGGUUGAGAACUAGCGCCAACUAGUUAGAGUCGCUCAUGAGGCGGCGGGCUACGGUCCUGAAUCACCGGCCCGGGAGGGGGGCAACUCAGCAGAUAUCAAUCGCUUGGAGUCCAGCUCUUGGAUUUCCAGGGCGUACCCUCCCGGAAAUAAGGGCGGGCUCCCUCAGGGCCAGGUCGGGCUAGAUAAGUAGUGGUUUCUUAGGGUCUUUGUAAAUAUACUUGUUCAAAUGGAUUUUUGUAUCAGGGGUGCUUGUUCCCCUUUGUGAAAACAUAUAAUUUUUGUUGGAAGUAAUAUUUUCUACAUUUUGGCAUGUCGUCGUACUUUUCUUUACCGUAGCUGCUUGGAAUUUGGCGGUCAUAGCUGUGUAAAGUUAGCAUGAUGACUUUAGCCAUAUAAAAUAGGCGGCCGUAGCCUUGUGAAUACGAUGGCUCUAGCCAUAUACGGAUAAAGGCCGUAGCCCGAUGAAAAUGAUGGCCAUAGCCAUGAAAAAUAAAAGUCGCGGCCUGAUGGCCUUAGCCAUAUAAAAUAAUGGUCAUAGCCGCGUAAAAUGAAGGCCGUAGCCUAAUGGCCUUUGCCAUAUAAAAAGAUGGCUCUAGCCAUGUAAAAUAAAGGACGUAGCCUGAUGGCCUUAGCCAUGUAAAAUAAAGGUCGUAGCCUGAUGGCCUUAGCCAUAUAAAAUGAUGGCCAUAGCCAUGUAAUAUAAAGGCCUUAGCCAUGUAAAACGAUGGCCAUAGCCAUGUAAAGUAAAGGCUGUAGCCUGAUGGCCUUAGCCAUAUAAAAUGAUGGCCAUAGCCAUGUAAAAUAAAGGUCGUAGCCUGAUGGCCAUAGCCAUAUAAAAUGAUGGCCAUAUCCAUAUAAAAUAAAGGCCGUAGCCUGAUGGCCUUAGCCAUAUAAAAUGAUGGCCAUAGCCAUAUAAAAUAAAGGUCGUAGCCUGAUGGCCUUAGCCAUAUAAAAUGAUGGCCAUAGCCAUGUAAUGUAAAGGUCGUAGCCUGAUGGCCUAAGCCAUAUAAAAUGAUAGCCAUAGACAUGUAAAAUAAAGGCCGUAGCCUGAUGGCCUUAGCCAUAUAAAAUGAUGGCCAUAGCUAUGUAAAAUAAAGGUCGUAGCCUGAUGGCCUUAGCCAUAUAAAACGAUGACCAUAGCCAUAUAAAAUAAAGGCUGUAGCCUGGUGGCCUUAGCCAUUUCGUUCAUUUGGAGAUGGCCAUAGCCUUUUCAUUCAUUUGGAAAUGGCCUUAGCCUUUUCAUUCAUUUGGAGAUGGCCAUAGCCUUUUCAUUUAUUUGAAGAUAGCCGUUGCCUUUUUAUUCAUUUGGAGAUGGCCGUAGCCUUUUCAUUCAUUUGGAGAUGGCCAUAGCCUUUCAUUCAUUUGGAGAUGGCCGUAGCCUUUUCAUUCACUUGGAGAUGGCCGUAGCCUUUCUAUACACUUGGAGGUGGUCGUAGCCUUUCUAUACACUUGGAGAUAACACUAGUCCAGUCCCUGUAUCAUGUCGGGCUUGGAGUGUUCAUGGAGAGGCGGACAUGAUGCACUCGCGCUACAAACAUCUCCAGGUGACCCCUUCGCCGCCUCGUUAAAAAUCUGCCCGAGAAAAUCCAAUUUGGACAAAACUCGGGUAAGUGCUACAAACAUCUCCAGGUGACCCCUUCGCUGCCUCAUUAAAAACCUUCUCGAAAAAACCCAAUUGGGACAAAACUCGGGUAAGGGAAAAAGUGUACAACUCAGGUGUCGCCUUUUUAGAAGUGGAAACGUUUUAGGUGAGGGACGUUCCAGUUGUUUUGGAGUGUCUUUCCUUCCAUCGUCUCUAGAUGGAAUGAUCCUUUCCCGGCCACCGCUGUGAUUUUGUAGGGUUCAUCCCAGUUUGUGCCCAAUUUUCCUUCACUCAAGUCUUUUGAGGCAAGAGUCUUGGCUUUGAGGACGUAAUCCCCUACUUUGAGCGGCCAUAUUUUUGCCCUUUUGUUGUAGUAUCUUUCGAUUUGUUGAAUUUGGGCUACCAUUCUGACGUGGACCAUUUCUCUUCUUUAUUCGGCCUUAUCAAGAUCUUGGAGCCUGCCGAUAUCAUUUUCCGAUCCGCUAGUGUGUGAGUACCUUAAGCUAGGUUCGCCCACUUCGACAGGUAUGACCGCGUCGGUUCCAUAAACCAGUGAGUAUGGGGUUUCUCCGGUGCUGGAUUUGGGCGUGGUUCUGUAUGACCACAAGACUUUGGGUAGUAGCUCGGGCCAUAGUCCCUUGGAAUCUUUGAGCUUCUUUUUGAGUGUGUUCAGGAUUAUUUUGUCGGAAGACUCCGCUUGACCGUUGGCGGCGGGGUGGUAUGGCAUGGAUAGUAUUCUUUAGAUGCGCCAUUUUUCGAAGAACUCAGUCGUUUUCUGACCGAUGAAUUGGCGCCCAUUAUCGCAGCUGAUUUCUUUGGGGAUGCCAAAACGACAUAUGAUGUUCUUCUAAAAAAAUGUGAUGACAUCCUGCUCGCGUGUUUGUGCGUACGCACCUACUUCCACCCACUUAGAGAAAUAGUCAGUUAAAACAAGUAAAAAUCAUACCUUUACUCAUCCUGGGGGUAGCGGGCCGACUAUGUCCAUCCCCCACUUGAUGAACAGCCAGGGGGAUGUGACAGAAUGGAGGGGUUCUCCUGGUUUGUGUAUCAUCGGGGUGAACUUUUGGCACUGCUCGCAUCGGCGGACGUAUUCUACUCUAAGGGCAAGUUCAUCAAAUCGGCCAGUCGACACGGUCUCUGGGUCAAUAUAAUAAAGGGACUACACUAGUUAACCCUCUAUUGUAAAGACAAAAUUCUCCAUUACGUGAAUAGAAAUCUCCAAUUGUAUAAAACGGAAUUCGCUAAUAAAUAAACAUCAACAACGGCUAAGGCCAUCAAUAAUGGCUAAGGCCAUCGAUAUAGGUUCAGCCUCAUCCGAACUGCGAUGGAUAUACCAUCGACAAAUGGCUAAGGCCAUCAACAAAGGCUAAGGCCAUCGAAAUAUGUUCGCUCUCGUCCGAACCACGACGGAUACUACUUCAACGACACUUGAAGUACUACCGAUAAUGGAUAAGGCCAUCAAUAAUGGCUAAGGCCAUCGACUUAGGUUUGCCCUCAUCCAAACCACGACGGAUACAUCUUCGAUGGCAGUCGAAGCAACAUCCUAAUGGCUAAGGCCAUUUACAUAGGUUCACCUUCGCCUGAACCACGACGGGUACUACUUCGAUGACCAUUGAAGUACCAUCGACAAAUGGCUAAGGCUAUCGACAUAUGUUCCACCUCGAUCGAACCACGACAGAUACUAUUUCGGUGACAGUCAAAGCAAUAUCAAAAUGGCUAAGGCCAUCGACAUAGGUUCGACCUCGUUCGAACCACGAUGGAUACUACUUCAACGAUACUCGAAGCAAUAUCCUAAUGGCUAAGGCCAUCAAUAAUGUCUAUGACCAUCAAUAAUGGUUAAGGCCAUCGACAUAGGUCGACCUUGUUCGAACCACGACAGAUACUACUUCAAUGACACUCAAAGCAAUAUCCUAAUGGCUAAGGCCAUCAAUAAUGGGUAAGGCCAUCGACAUAGGUUCGACCUUAUCCGAACCACAACAGAUACUACUCUUGACGAACGUCAAAGCAACAUCCUAAUGGCUAAGGCCAUCGACAUAAGUUCUCCCUCGUCCAAACCACCGCGGGUAUUACUUCGACGAUAGUCGAAGUACCAUCGACAAAUGGCUAAGGCCAUCGAAACAGUUUGACCUAGUUCGAACCACGACGGAUACUACUUCGACGACAGUUGAAGCAAUAUCCUAAUGGCUAAGGCCAUCAACAAGGGCUAAGGACAUCGAUAUAUGUUCGACCUCGUUCGAACCACGAGUGAUACUACUUCGACGAUAGUCGAAGCAAUAACCUAAUGUCAAAGGCCAUCGACAUAGGUUUGCCCUCGUCCGAACCACGAUAGGUACUACUUCGACGACAGUCGAAGUACUAUCGACUAACGGCUAAGGCCAUCGACACAGGUUCAGCCUCGUUCGAACCACAACAGAUACUACUUCGACGGAAGUCGAAGCAAUAUCCUAAUGGCGAAGGCCAUCGACAUAGGUUCGGCCUCGUUUGAACCAGGAUGGAUACUACUUCGACGAGAGUCAAAGCUAUAUCCUAAUGGCUAAGGCCAACAUCGGUCUGAUCUUAUUCGAACCACGAUGAGGCCCUUGUAGAAAAUAAAGCAGUAAGUGGACAAAGCAAAAAAGAAGAAACUUAUAUUACAACAAAAAUAUAUUUAUAUUCGCCCCCAUGAAUGGGCUCUCAUACAUUCCACAAGCCAAAAUAUAUAUAUAUAUAUAUAAAGUACAAAAAUAUACAAUUGCUCGUCACCACUGGAGGAUGAAUGUCAUUGUACCAGGAUUCCGAGUCGAGGUGAUUAACAUCCCCAGAAAUGGAGUCCCCCCAUCAGGAGAGUCGAGGUAGUACCAACAUGACUCACGAGUAGCACGAGCCUCGUUCCGCCUGGACUAAACCUCCUCCUCCGUCGCCCGGCCGUCAGCAUGAAGGUCUUUAUAUCCAUCGAGUUUGGCCUCCUCAAAGACCCACAUCUCAUAUGCGCUGCGGCGUGGGCUACGACCGGAUGAGGGAAGAGAUGAGGAGGGCUGAGAAAUAUGGCCCACUUCUUCUAACUUCAGGGGAGCGACCUGCCCUUGCAAUUCUGCCACUUUGUCGGCACUGACACUUAGCUAUCCCCUAAGUCCAUUUAUUUCUGUCACCCUGGCGUCGAGAUCGGUGGUCAACUCAGCCACCUUCCGUUGUUGGUCGACGUUCUCCGCCGCCACCCCACGGCUCAGCUCGAGUUCGUCAUCUUUCGCCCUAAGGAGCGUCUUCACUGUUGCAGGCCACAACUCUCAUUAACUCACUAUCCGCCUCCACCAGCUCAGCACGCUUGCGCUCCAACUAGGCCUCCCUCUGCUCGAGCCCCUCGCAAAACACUCGGAACUCGGGGUCCUGCUGAUAUAGGUCGACCAUUGAUUGAUGCUUAGAGUGAUAUUUUCGACACUUCUUCAGCAUCUUCUUGAAGAAGUUUGUCCUCUUUUGCUGACGGCGUCCCCUCUCCACCUCCGAAAUAAGGGUAUGAAAAGAAAACAGAAGUAAUCACGCUUUCAGGGCAAACCUAUGAUACACAAGGAAAGAAGAGGAGGAAAUAAUACCUAUAAAGCCAUGCCGGCUACUCUUCAUGAUAGCUCCACAUCGGUCACGGUACUGAGCGUCCCACUCCCAAGGGCAGUACAUAGCAGGGUAAGGGCUGAUGCGCCCUGCUCGGUGUUCAGCAGCAAGUUGUAAGCCCCCAGAAUUGUGAUACGAUGGUUGGACCAAUUCGUCAUCAUUUCUACGUGGGUAUGCCCACCUACGAACUCGCCUACAUCUUGCUGGGUGACGUCCGAAUCCGGCUUCGCCCCCUUGUCUGUUCCUAUGCCACUAUUCGACGGCCCCCCUUUAGCGACACUCACUGAACUUGUAUUGGGAGAGACCCUACUUUUCUGAGUCGACCUCCUAGAUCGAAUGGCGUCGGCCAUAAAUACAUGCCUCGGCAUCACUUGGGGCGACAUAGCAUCAUCGACUUCAGUAGUCACCCCUUCCCUGUCUCCAACCUUCUAUGUUUCAUUUCCACUGGCUCUUCACCGUCUGAAGGUUCAUCGACGGGCUGUAAGGCUGGCGCAGGUAAUGCCGGCUCAGUCAUAGCCGCAGCCGGGGAUGUAGUCCCUUGUUGGAAAGAUAGAGGGAGACCUUCCCAAACCGACUCGCACAACAUACCACGGGCAUCUUGGGCGAUGUCAGACCCCACGAAAGUAGGGGCCGAGGCCCUCCGCCUAGAAGUGCCUCAACUUAUUGCUAGGAAAAUACACGUGAGUGGGAUUACAAAAUUCACAAGGUAAAAAUUAACAAUCUACCCGAAGAGACUUUGGGGUUGUAGCGCUACAUGAAGGCGGUCCACGUGUGGGUCGCUUCAGCGUGGCGUAACAUGCCAGCAGCUCACCUCUUAAGACCGGUAACGUGCUAAAGUUGAUGAGCGAUGCCUAUAAUGCAAGAGUUAGAAUCACACCAACAACAAGUAACAAGAAACUUGACAUGUUGCAAUACUUACGUGACGAAUUCCACCUCUCUUAAAAUUUGGAAGGGUUAAAGACCAUGUGUUCGGUCCUGAUGAAGAAAUAUUUAUGCCAUCACCCACGACGUGCUUGGUUGUCAGUUUCGACCACCAGACCUCUCGUACCACGGCUUAUCAAGUGCACCAUGGUACCUCUCAGAUAACUGGCGUUAAAUAAUUGCAAGAGGUGGUGAAUCGAGACUUUGUACCCGGCCAACUCCGCUUACUUAGUUAGUAGCAGAAGCAUCUUCAAGGUAUAUGGCACGAGUUGUGCUGGGCAGAUAUUGUAAAAUUGGCAUAGCUCCUCCACCAAAGGAAACAAAGGGAUACCAUAACCUAUCCAAAAGUGGUACUCAUAAAAGGCGCAGUACCCCAACUUGUGGGUAUCUACAUGCCCCCCUGCAGGAACCAUCUAUACGUGAGUGGGUUUAUCGUACUUAGCAUGGAGAUCCUCUAAGUGCUUCUAUUGUGAUUGAGAAAUCACCAGUGCCGGAACAGGUGCAUCUUUGUUGAAGUCACUCCGAGCGAAGGAUUUUUUGGGAGUAGGGCCUCUUCUUCCUCCAUCUCUCCACCAUAUGAGAAAGGUGGCACGUUAGAUGGAGCCUCCGUCAGGAUCCUCUCAUCAUCUCGGUGAGGUUUAGACAUGAUUUUGCUUAGGAAAAGAAUUUUGCACAGCUCAGUGAAGAAGAACCUUCCGACUAACGGCAGAAGCGAACAAGGAGAAAAUGUGAACUGAAGGGUUGGGGUGCUCUUACAAAUGACGAAAUUUUGAACCAAAUCAAACCCUUCCCCUAUUUGUAAGGUUGGGUGUCAUCGGAAUCAAGGCGUAAGACUUCAAAUAAAUGCGGGAAACCAAGCUGCAAAGAGUCUAUUUUCCUUCCUCGAGAACAAGUGCUAUGAUGACGCAUGUGAAUGCUGACGUCAUACUAGGGAAGGCGUUUCGUUUUGGCGCUCUGAUAGUUAUAAUUGUUGUCUCUCAACGGUCACGUGGUCUCUCUUUGACAAGUCAAACUCUCCCUGAACGGAGGCGUUGAUUCCGCCCAUCGAGGAUGCAUCCCGCUGCGACCCCGACAAGCGGAGGAACUAACUGUAUAGGGUCGAAUUUGACCAAUCACAUCCCUAAGUCACCACGACCAAUUGAUGACUACACACAAGUCGUGGCAACAUGACGACCUAAGAAUCAUAAGAACAACGACCUCGUAGCCUUGUCGUCCCCCCUCCUCCCCCCAUCUCCCUCUGACACAUUUUAUCUCUGUCUUUUCAUACAUAAAUGAGGAUCCCCUUACUAUAUAAAGAGGAUCUAUGUUGUGUAAAGGCAGAUCUUUUUUGCUUAAUAGACAAGUUCUCUCUCUAUCUCUCUCUAUGCCUUCGUCUCAACUACCAUUGUCGUUAAUCUGAUCAUAAAACGUAUUCUAUGGUUUAUUACUUUCGAUUACGAUUUAUCCUUUCAUCUCUUUUGAUUGAUUUGUUUAAAAAGUAUUUACAACGUUUGAGUCAAACAGAUAGAAUGAGAGAAAAAAUAAGAAAAUAACGCGACUACACUAAAUCGAUCGUUCCAUACAAUGUCACUUUUCAUUGUUACACAACGACAGAUUUAACGAUACGAUACAAUAAAAUUUAAGUAACAAUCAAAAUAAAUAGUUAUGUUAAUCAUCCAAACAAGUUGUUAACGUACACGUAUUAUAUUGCGCGCAUAUCUUGUUACAAUGAGUAAUUUUUAGAAGUCAUAUAAAUAUUAUAGUAAAAAUUAUGUCUGAGUUACUAUAAAAUAAGAAUUUAAGAACAUGAAAUUGAUAAAUAAAGAAUUUGAGUACGGUAAGAAAUUUAAUUAGAAUAAUUUGAUCAUAUCAAAUUCUUUACACAAUUAGGAAUGAAAGAGAAUAAAAGCUUUUAAAGAAGAUAUUUCAUGUAUGUAAUAUAAAAAUUAAUUAUUUAGGAUAGAGGUAUGCUUAUAAUAUAUAUUAUAUGCGCUUGAAAAAUUUGCUCAAUUAUUUUGUUCCAACAUUAUAUAGGCCUAAAUACUAUUUUCUCAUUUUUUUUACUUUAGAAUAUGUAAGAUUUAAUUAUUCUAUACGUAAUCUUGUUAUAUAUAUAUAUAUAUAGAAAGAGAAAAAAUUAUAAUAUUAAAAAGGUAUUAGAAAGUUUAUAAACUUAAAGGGUAGAAAAGGUAUUUGUUCAUCGAAAAUUUGAGAAAUCUAGUUGAGUGAGCUUUUAAGUGCUAUAAAAAUAGUUAAAGUGACUUUUUUUUUUUUACAAACAAAAAGAAAAUAACUUUACUAGGUAAUUUCAAAUAAUUAAAUGACCAUCUGAAUAAUGAACUCAUUCAUUACAAAAGUCAAAUUUUGCUCAGAACCGAUUUUUAUAUUAUGAUAUAAUAUAUAUUAUUGUAAUAACACUUUAUUAUAGCAGCAAAAAAAUAUCGAAAUAAGCGAGGCUAAUUUGACUGUAUUAUCAUAUGCAUUUGAUUAUUUACUCUUUCAAAACAUACAUAGAGUGGAUUGCUUAUGAAACCAUGUAAUUAAUAAUACAUUAUUUUUUCACUUAUCUUAUGAAGUAGUAGUAUUUAGUAGUAGUAAGAACUGGUCAUUUUUAGAAAAGAAAUCUAAAGAGAUUUCCUCUCUAUCUAACUAGCUAGUUUCAUUUGGCCUUCAAUCAAUAGCGAUGCCUAUAAUUAGUAAAGUGAUGGGCAAUAGGAAAAUCAGGAUCAGGUUUGUCAACACCAUCUUCACUCCUAAGCCAAUAAGUCUGAGGAAGAGAGGCUGCACCAUUUGGUAUGUCAUCCAUUACUCGUUCUUGUCCUACUGGAAAGUAUAUUCCUGUUCGAGGAUGUGGCAUCCACCACGUCGACCCUUUCAUUAUCUCCUCAUCUUCGUCUUCCUCCUCAUUCCUCCAUAUUUCCUCCCUCCCUGAAAACGUACUGCUCAUCCUACGUUUAAUUUGCUGCAUUUGCUGUGACCUGCAUCAAUCAUUCUAACCUUUUUAGUCACACUCACAUGUAUAUAUGUAUACGAGAUAUGAUUAAUUUUAACCUGACUUUUUAUCAGUUAUAACAGGUAAAAAACGGUUCUAUUAUGCUCAGGUAGAUCUUAGGGGUGGUUAAGUCGGUAAAUAUUUGGCUAUGCUUAUUGACGAUAAAAGCCACCUUGACAUUCUAACUUAUUUGGAAUGCCUACUUGGCUUUCUGGUCAAAUUUAAUGAGUUUUUUCCACCAUAUUUAUGUUCUGCGAAUAACAACAACAUACUCAGUAUUAUCCCACAUCGUGGGGUAUGGAGAGGGUAAUGUAUACGUAGACCUUAUCCCUAUCUUGUGAGGAUAAAAAGAUUGUUUUCAAUCGACCCUCGACUCAGAAAAGCAUAACCAUCACAUUAAUGAAAAUAUAGACAAGAAGGGACCAUACUAAAGAACUAUAUAAAAUCAAAAUAAAAACAAUAAUAUAAUAAGGUGAUAAAAAAAGAGACAAAAUUAGUUUCAUGGCUUUUAUUAAAAGGAAUCGUAAGUUGGAAAUAAUUUGAGAAAUCCAAUAAUAAUUUUCUUGACCUUCCAUUUCUUGUUUCCUUUUCCUUUUCUUGACCUUCCAUGUCGUGCUAUAUAUAUGUAUGUAUAUAUUCUCUGCUAGCAUUUGUGAAUGAUUUAAGAUUAAAGAGCUAAUAAUAAUAGUACCACUAACUAAGAUAGCAAGAUGCAUAGGGAAAAAAAUAAUACUAAGCAAGCCAAUUGAGAGAACAAGAAAUAAGUACUCUAACCUAAUUAAUCGUAAUCUCUGUGGAAACGUAGUGAUUCCAGCUGCAGUUAUAGGCAUCUGUUGCAGUUGAUAAACCGAACUAGAAAGAUGUAGCAAUGUAAUAUUUGUAGGGUAUUAAUGCUUAUAUAUAUACAGGAGAAAUUAAUUGACAAACUAUAUUUCAAGUGUUAUGUGGAAGGAAAAGAAUAUGAUUCUGUGCUACUCUAGGGUGAAGGUUCCUAAUGAAGUUUGCAACUCUCGAAAGCCGCAAAAAAAGUAAUAAAGAAAAGGUACUUUUCUAUGUGCUUAUUUGUUAUCUCGUCAUUUUUUUUUGUUAUGAUAAAGUACAAGUUUAAUUCUUUACAUCUUGUACUUUCUUUAACCGUUUGGACAUCCAUGUUUUCAAUUUUAGGUAUUAUUAUUAUUAUUAUUAUUAUUAUUAUUAUUAUUAUUAUUAUUAUUAUUAUUAUUUGCACAUCAAUAUUUGCUUUACUGUGACGACCCAAAGGGUCAUCACCGUGAUUCUCCCUUUUCUUGUGCUUUCGAGGCCUUGAAAAUCUCUUAUUUGAUUGCCUCGAUUUCCGGGCGCGAAGCCAAAAAUUUUUAUGUGGAAAUAUAUGAAAUAUGUGUUAAAAACUAUGAAUUUUGAUAAAAAUAUUGUUAUAAUUGACUUUCGUCAAGAUUUUGGGUAAACGGAUUCGGACUAGUGAUGUGACGGUCCCCGAGGGUCCGUAGAAAAAUAUGGGACCUGGGCGUAUUCUCGGAAUCGAAAUCCGAGGUCCCAGGCCGAUUACGAAAUUUUUGAAAGAAAUUAUUUAUCUGUAAUUUAUAUGAGAAAUUGAAAUGAAAAUAAGUUAGAAAGUGAUGGUAUCGGGCUCGUAUUUUGGUUCCGACGUCCGGUACGAGUCUUAAAUGAGCUUAAGCGCUAUCUGUACAGUUUGAUUUAAAAAGGACGUCAUUUGAUGUAUUUCGGACUAAAAAUGAAUAAUUUGGAAGUUAUGAACUUUGAAAUGAAAAAUCUUGAGUUUGGAGGCUUGAUUCUAUGUAAAUGAUAUUAUUUUGGCGAUUUGAUCGCACGAGUAAGUCCGUAGGAUGUCUUUGAGGUUGUGUGUAUAUUUGGGUUGGAGCCCCGAGGGCUCGGGUGAGUUUUGGUUAGGCAUCGGACUGCAUUUCUCAUGUUUUGGAAAUUUCUGGUAUAAGGCUUCUGCAAUUUUCGCAAAUGCGAAGCCAGGGAUCGCAAAUGCGAAAUGAGCCAAGGAAGGCCAAAGUUCGCAAAAUCAAACUUUUCUUCGCAAAUGCGAGGAAGAGGAGUUCGGCUUGAGAUCGCAAAUGCGAACCUCCCCCAUAUGGCCUAACUUCGCAAAUGCAAUGAAACAUCUCGAUCCUGCCCAUGUCCUGCCUUGUUCGCAAUUGCGAACAAAUCCUCGCAAUUGCGACAUCCGCCAUUCCUUCUGUUGCGAACAAAUCCUCACAAUUGCGAUAUCUGCAUAUGUGCAUUCUAUACUUAGACGGUUUUAAACCUCAUUCUUCAUAUUUUCAAAACACAAACCUCUAUUGACGAUUUUCUCUCAACUCCUUCUUUCCCCAAUCAAUUGUAUGUCAACUUUUACUCAAUUUCUUCAAUCUUUAACAUCUUUUAUCAUGAUUUCAUCUUAAAAUCAAAGCUUUCAAUGGGUAAAAUUGGGGAUUUGGGGUAGAACCUAGGUUUUCUUCAAAUUGGGGAUUUGCACCUCAAUUUGGGGUCCGAUUUCAAAACAAAUUGCACAUAUGAACUUGUGGGGGAAUGGGUAACCCAGUUUUGGUUCGAACCUUGAGUUUUGACCACGUGGGCCCAAAGACAUUUUGGUAAUAUUUGGGUAAAACUUUGGAAAUUUCAUUCUUAUGCAUUCAAAUUGAUUUAACUAGCAUUUGUUGCACGUGGGCACGGGGGGAAUUUUGGGAAUCUUUGGGUAAAACUUUGAGAAAUUCAUUCGUAUGCAUUCAAAUUGAUUUAACUAGCAUUAGUUGAUACAUUUGAGUAAAUUGUCAUUAGAUUCGACCGGGCUUGAGGCGAAUUCGAGGGGUAAAGCUAUCCUAGAGGUGUGAGUUGAGUUUGGAAGCUUUCGAGGUAAGUAUUUGAUCUAGCUUUGGCUUGAGGAAAUAGUAUUAGGACAAUAUUUGCUAUUUGCUAUGUGGAGUCGGUGUAUAGGUAUUACCUAUGCGCCCGAGUCAAGCAUGACCGUGAGUCGUAAUUGCUUUUAAAUUUGAAAGAGGUGAAACAAUUGAGUUAAUUAAUUGUUAAAUGAAUUAUGAAGUGAUAGUUAAGAAGCAAAUGAGUUAAAGAAGGAAGUGUGGUACUUUUCCCUUGCCGGGACUUAUUGUUAUAUUGUUCUCCCUUGCCGGGACUUAUUGUUAUAUUGUUCUCCCUUGCCGGGAUGAUUAAUCUUGUUGUAUAUUCCUUUCCCCGAUUGGUUGUGGCCGUUGAUUGGGUGAGGAAGAGAGAUUGUGCAUGAAGUGUCUUUCCGUGUCGUGUUUUGAUAAUUAUGCGCGAAGGGUCUUUCCGUGCCGUGUUUUGAUAAUUAUGCACGAAGGGCUUUCCGUGUCGCGUUUUGAAAAUUAUGCAUGAAGGGUCUUUCCGUGCUGUGUUUUGAUAAUUAUGCACGAAGGGUCUUUCUGUGUCAUGUUUCUUGAUCAUUUGAGCAUGAAGGGUCAUUCCGUGCCUUGAUGUGAGAGUUAUAUGAGGAAAGCACGAAGGGUGAUGCCGUGCACUAUAUUUGACAGUUUUGGUGAGGAAAUCACGAAGGGUGAUGUCGUGCACCAUUUGAGAGUAAAAGCACGAAGAUUGAUGUCGUGCAGUUGUUGAUUCACUGUUGUGGUCUUUCCGUGCUAUGUUUUGAUAAUUAUGCACGAAGGGUCUUUCCGUGCUAUGUUUUGAUAAUUAUGCGCGAAUGGUCUUUCCGUGUCAUGUUUCUUGAUUGUUUGAGCACGAAUGGUCAUUCCGUGCCUUGAUGUGAGAGUUAUAUGAGGAAAGCACGAAGGGUGAUGCCGUGCACUAUAUUUGACAGUUUUGGUGAGGAAAGCACGAAGGGUUAUGUCGUGCACUAUAUUUGACAAUUUUGGUGAGAAAUGAGACUAAAAGCACGAAGGUUGGUGCCGUGCAGUUGUUGAUUCACUGGCUUUCUUUUAUUGAUGUUAAUUAAUUGAUUAUCUUGGUGAGGACGAGGGUAAAUGCACAAUGGGCGGUGCCAUGCAAUGGUUGAUUUACUGGCUCUCUUUUAUUUUUGUUAAAUGUUCGGUUUCCAUUUCUUGUUCGUUGGACUUAUAAUUGAACUGUUACAUCCCCCAGCAUGUCCCCUCCCCAUUAGCUAUUUAAAUUUUGUUAUCUUUUCGUUAUUGCACAUAUAUUUGUACAGGUUGUUUGUGGUAGGUCCGGUCCAGCCUCAUCACUACAUCGCCGGGGUUAGGCCAGGCACUUACCAGCACAUGGGGUCGGUUGUGCUGAUGCUACACUUCUGUGCCUUUUUGUGCACAGGCCAGGAGACAACUUACGAAUUGCAGUAGUAGUUUGGGAGCGUGUCUUCAAUCGAGAGACUCCCAGGUAGUUCGCUGGCAUUCGCGGGCCCCGAGUCUCAUCCAUCCCGGUUCUGUUUGUUUUCAUUAUAUCGAGAUAGACUUUUUAUGUAUUUUCUUUCAGACCCGUAUUUAUAGCAUCUCAUAGUAGUUCAUGAGUAUUGUGACACUAGAUCUUGGGUAGAGGGUGUUGUCUAUCUUUUCGCAUUUUCUUCAUUUGAUAUUAAAUUAAGACUUUCGCUUGAAUUUAUUGUUUUUUAUUAUUAUCUCGUUGGAAUUUAAUUGAAAAAGGUAUAUUUAAGUUGGCUUGCCUGGCUCCGACAGUAAGCGCCAUCACGACUCCUGAUGGUGGAAAAUCCGGGUCGUGACAUUUACAAUUUAAAUAAUUUAAAUAAAAAGAGUGUAUCCAUAUUAGAGUAAGCUAUUUUUGCAAUUUUACAUUUUUUUAUUUCUUCUUUUGAUGAAAUGACUAUUUAUCUCAACUGUGUAUUUUUACUUUUUUCAUGUAAAAUCUGUAAAAAAAACAAUAUAUUUUUAAAGCAUCAUAAUUUAGAGCUAUAUAAAAAAUUAAAGCUAAAAUAAGUAAUCAGACUAUGUAUUUUUAUUACUUUUUAGAUGCUUUGACUAUUUAUUUUAAUUGUAUAAAUCUUUAUUAUCAAGUCAAAUUCAAAAAAAAAAUAUUAACUAAAACUUUAUUAUUUUUAUCUAAUUAAAAAUAUUUAGCCUAAAUAAUGUAGUUCUACCAAAGUUUUAUUAUAAAUUGUAUUCGAAUAAAAUUAUCUAAAAAAGUAACAUACUUAUAAAGGUAAAAAUAUAUUUUAUUUUUCAAAAAGAAUGUCAUAUAUACAGAAAAAUUCACGUGACAUGCGAGUGGACCCACUCUCUUUGCGACAUCAGCGUCUGGGGUAAUUCUCAAAAGGCCAAGUUCAGGGGUAAUUAAGACCACAAAUAAUUUAAGGCUGUAACUAAUAAUCCUUGUCAAGUUUAGGAGUGCGAUAAGAUAUUUUGCCUUCUUUUUUUUUUCCAAGUGAAAUUCAUAUCUAAACACAAAUUUUCAACUUUCGAAUAAUUACCUAUUUUAAUUUCAACUUGAAAUAUUUUUCGUAUCAAACGCUUUGGAGUGUUAUUUUCGUGAACUUUAAGUCUUUGUAUUUAAAAAGAUAUUGAUAUGACAACUAUUUUUUUCCGUACAUGCAUGGAUAGAAUGAUGGGGAGGUAUUAUUCUGUCAAAUAAUCAGUACCAUGUGUUUUGAAUUAGAGAUUAUAGACCUUACGCGGAAUACCCAGAGGCACCAUCAGAGGACGGAAAUAAAGAAGAUUUUCGAUACUCUUAUCAACAAUGUUGUUCCUUAAAGUACAUAAAGAACAUGUACUAUUCUUUCAUGAUAUGAUUGGUAUUAGAAUUUAUAAUCCAUCAACAACGAAUUGACCCUUUAUUACUAUUGUCAAGUAAUAUGUUUCGUCACUAUUAAUUUAAUAAGUGCUGAUAUGGUUGAGAUUUUUUUACUAGCUAAUUCUAACUAUAGGAUUCGAAUUCAAAUUUAAACUAAAGAACCUAUGAUAGAUAUUUUUAUCCUGUUGGUAAACCUAUGCAGUAUUUAGUACGAAUUUGAAUUAAUCGACAAACAAAAUGCGGACACUAAAUAGUUUAGUUGAAACAGAAGUACAAGCCUCGCCUACGUAUCCACAUGCAAUUGACCCUUUUAUUAUAUCAGCUUUUUGUUACUAAUUAACCAGACCAUCUAGGUUCUGUAUCAUGUUAUAAUCAGUCUAAACUGUAGUAUCGUCCCACCCCGCUAAUGCUGUUAGAGAAAUAUGAGGACGGAAUAAUUAGGUCUUGAUAGUGUAAUUAUUGUUUUUAAAAAAUUUAAGUCUCUUAAUUUCGUUGAUAUAGGGAUUGUGGCAGAAUUCCUCCAGAAUUCUACCAAGCCUCUGAAAUCAAGUUUCAGCAAUUAACUCGAAUUUCUCACAAGAACAGAAUAGUUGUGAGUUGUAAACAAUAAGUAGAAGAGAAAGAUAUGAAAAUUUCAAAUGGUUUCGUUUUGGAGAUGAUAUAGGUAUUUAUAAUACCUCUAGGAGUUUGUUGGAAUUAACAGACUCAUCUGUGUAGGGAAAUGAUACCGAACAAAUAACAAUAAUAAUAUUAGAAUAAUAUUCUUUGUAAGAAAAUACACGAAUUAGCUUGAAUCGUGCUGGGCACUGUCCUAAUAAACUAUUUCAACAGUGUAAAAUGUUUCUCCGGGAUUUAACAAGUUUACCUCUAUUUUAUUUAGAGAAUACAGAAAUCCGCAAAAUUAAAUAUUACAAACCCAACUAGCAAGUAGAAAAAGUAAAUAAGAAAUGAAAAACUAAUAUUUAAUAUUGGCAGGGGCGACUUUUGGGUAAAGCAGCUAAAGCAUAUGCUUUAGGCCCCCACUUUAGGGGGACCCCAAUUUUUUAGUUUAUUAAAAAAAAUCUGUCCAUUUUCAAGUACAAUUUAUUUUACAAUCAAAAGUAAGCAAUUUUUUCAACUUUGCAGAUUUUGGGCGAAAGAAAAAGAAUAUGGUGGACCCAAAAAAUUAAAAAAUCUGGCCAUUUUUCUCUGUUCUUCUUGGUUUUUGAUUACCUUUUAAUACCUUUCUCACCAAUAUUACAUUACAUAGUUACAUUUGUAUCAUUUUCUCCCCCUUAACUUCAAAACAAUCCUCUUCACCUCUUGCAAUAUUCUAGAGAUUGAAAAAUUUGAAAGCUUAUUGUUUGUGCUAUGAGAUACCGUAUUGCACCAAAAAUAUUAAAGCGACAACUAUUUAUUUUUAAAUCAAGUUAUUGAACAGGUUUUCCUAUUCUAGUUUUUGGUAUUAUUUUCUUCUAAAUCAAUUUUUUUGAUAUCUUUAUUAUAUAGGCAUAUAUUGUCCUUUUAAUAUUUAUUAAAACACAAAUAUUUCAAAUAAAAAGUAUGAUUCUGGUUAUUCAAAACUUAAAAAAAAGAGGGAAAAUUCACUAUUUUCUUCUUCUACUAAAAGAUGGAAAAUUUUAAAAGAUAGUGUGCCUAGUCUAACUCUUAAAUCAUUGUCACAAACACGAUGGGAAAGUCGUAUUGAAAGUAUUAAACCAAUAAGAUUGCAAAUUUCACAAAUAAAAGAUGCAUUAUUGAAAUUAGUAGAAGUUAGUGAAGAUCUAAAAACAAAAAGUGAAGCUAGUUGCUUAUAGAAUAAUGUUAACAGUUCCGGUAACAGUUGCCUCAGCGGAGAGAAGUUUUUCAAAAUUAAAAUUGAUAAAAUCUUAUUUAAGAUCAACAAUGUCUCAAGAGAGGUUGAAUGGAUUAGCUAUAUUGUCAGUUGAAAAGGAAUUGUUAGAAGAAAUUGAUUAUAAAACAGUUAUUCAUACCUUUCAUCUCAAAAUGCAAGAAAAAUAAACUUCAAAUAAAAAAAUAUAUGAGUUUUUAUUUAGUUUUUAAGAAAAAAAUUAAGGCCUCCAUUUGAAGUUUGACUUUAGGCCCCGAAUAGUAUUGAGCUGCCCCUAAAUAUUGGACAACAAAAGAAGAAGGGAGGAGUGAAAGGAAAGGAGAGGAAUGAUGUUUGUUUUAUGAUGGAUAUUUCUUUGUCAAAUGAGAGCAUUUUAUAGUUGAAAUUGCAUGAAGCUUGGCUUUUGCAUGGCAAAAACGUGGAUGAACAUGUGCCACUUUUUAGUCUUCUUUUGCCACUAAUCUUAACCUUUUAGAAGGCCAAAAACACUUGUCCAAAAGGUAUUAAAAUAUUUCCACAGCCCCCCUCUAUUUUGAAGACAUUUUGAAAUAAACAUGUUGGAUUUAUAUGGUCUAAAUGUAAUAGGUCCAGAAGAACCAAACUUAUAUCAAUAAAAAUAUAACUCAUAGAAUUGCUGGUGAAAUAUAAUAUUUCUAUGAACCAAAUAUUACUUAUUGUGAGCCAGAGAUUUUAUCAAUCACAUUUUGACUCCCGGUAAUUUUUCUGUUCAAUGCGAUUUUGCGCCCAAUAGGCCAUGUGCAUGCAUGGUUAUUCAUGAGAGCGGCUCACUCCACUCUCAUAUAGGUGAAUUCAUCGAGUGUAUACUGCUUUUAAAUACACCAUCCAUAAGGACUAUGAAUUUUAUUAAGAGUUAUAACUCAGCCUCUCAAUUAAUAGCAGUCAAGCACUCUCUUUUAGUGCAUCAGCGCCAAUAUUGACUUGCUAUUACCCAUAUGAACAUGGAUCUCCAAUCACAUAAGUUGGGUUACCAUCUAUAUUGGCAACAUGUGCCCUUAACCCCAUCUCUUUUGAGGUUUGAAGAAUUAAUUUUCUUCCCACGUCAGAGGAACGAUCAAAUUUAUCUCUGACUUCACAUAGUCAAUGAAAAUUAUUCCAUAUCUCAACAGCUAUUUUAUGACAUCAUGUCUCAAUUUCAUGUGUCUACUUUUACAAUUAUAAGAUUUAUUAUUUUCUAUAGAUAUUGCCGCUUAAUAAUCACAAUGCAUAGUCACAGGAGGCAAUAUGUCUUUUAUUAAAGGGAUAUUAGCUAAGACGUUUUAGCCACUCAGCCUUAGAACCAGCUAACUCCAGAGCUACAAACUCCGAUUUCAUAAUCGAUCUAGCAAUGAUCGUCUGUGUAGCUGAUUUACACGAUAUUGCACUACCACCAAGGGUGAAUACAUAACCACAAGUAGAUUAUAUCUCAUUUGAAUCAGAGAUCCCGUUUGUAUCACUGUACCCUUCUAAACUAGAAGGAAAUCCACUAUAUAGGAUACCAUAUUUCAUGGUUCCUCUCAAAUAUUUUAUUAGUCUAGUUAAUGCAGAUCAAUGCUCUCUAUUGAGAUUAUGAGUAUAUCUACUCGGUCUACACACAAUAUAGUCUAUAUCGGGCCUUGUAAAAUUAAUUAAAUGCAUUAGACUCACAAUGAUCUGCGCAUAUUUAAACUGAGAAAUUGGGUCACCAUUAUUCCUUUUCAACUGAGUGAUAGCAUCAAAAGGAAUGCUCACAGACGCGACAUUAAAAUAUUCAAACUUCUUAAGAAGUUUCUCAAUAUAUUGUUUUUGUGACAACAUUUGUCACGACCCGAAUUUUUUCACCAUCGGGAUUCGUGAUGGCGCCUACUGUCGGAGCUAGGCAAGCCAACUUAAACAUACCUUUUAAACUAAUUUCCAACAAGAAAAAAAUAAAAAAAUAAAUUCAUGCGAAAUUCUUAAUUUAAUAUAAAAUGAAAGAAAUGCAGAAGAAAGUUAACAUCAUCCUCUACCCAAGAUUUAGUGUCACAGUAAUCACGGACUACUACAUUAUACUACAAAUAAGAGUUUUGAAAGAAAUUACAUAAGGAGUCUGUUUCGAUACAAUGAAAAAAAAUAGAAAUGAACUAAAAGAGACUCGGGGCCACGAACACCAGCGAACUACCUGGAGUCUCUGGACUGAAGGCACGCUCCCAAGCUACUGCUGCCGUCCGUAAGCUGUCUCCUGACCUGUGCACAAAAGGCACAGAAGUUUAGCAUCAGCACAACCGACCCUAUGUGCUGGUUAGUGUGUGGCCUAACUUCGGUGAGGUAGUGAUGAGGCUAGACCGGACCUACCACAAUUAACCUGUACAGAUAUAUGUGCAACAACGGAAAGAUAUACAAAUAGAAAUUCAAACAUACAAUAGGAGGGGGGACAUGCUGUGGGGUGUAACAGAUUAGAUAUGAGAUCACGAACAUAGGGAUGGAAACCGAAUAAUAAACAUCAAUGAAAGAGAGCAAAUAAUUAAUAACUGCACGACACCAACCUUCGUGCUUUUACUCUCAACUAUCACUAAAACCAUCAAACAUAAAUGCACGGCACCACCCUUCGUGCUUUUACCCUCAAUUCUCACUAACAGUCAAAUAUAUAUGCACGACAUUACCCUUCGUACUUUUCCUCACAUAACUCUUACAUCAAAGCACGGAAAGACCCUUCGUGCUCCAAUAAUAAAAAACAUGGCAAGGGAAGACCUUUCGUGUAUAAUUAUCAAUACAUGUCACUGAAAGACCAUUCGUGCAUAAUCUCUCUUCCUUAUCCAAAUCAAUAGUCAAAACCAAUCGGGGAAGGAAAUAUACAAUAAGAUUAAACAUCCCGGCAAGGGAGAACAAAUCAAUAAUAAGUCCCAACGAGCGAAAACGAAUUAACAAUAAGUCCCGGAAAGGAAAAAAUACCACACUUCCUUCUUUGACUCAGUUGCUUCUCAACUAUCACGUCAUAACUUAUUUAGCAAGUAAUUAACUCAAUUGUUUCACAACUUUCGAAUUUAAAAGCAACUACGACUCAUGGUCAUGCUAGACUCGGGUGCAUAGGUAACCGUCAUCAUACCUAUACACCGACUCCACAUAGCACAUAGAAAAUACUGUCCUAAUCCUAUUUCCUCAAUCCAAAGUUAGAAAAAACACUUACCUCGAAAUCUCCAAACUCAACUCAUGCCUCUAGGAUAGCUUUACCCCUCGAGUUCGCAAUAACACCGCUCGAAUCUAGUCACAAGUUACCCAAAUGUAUCAACAAAUGCUAGUUAAAUCAAUUUGGAGGCAUAAAAAUGAAUUUUCCAAAUUUUAUCCAAAAUACCCCCGGGCCCACAUGGUCAAAACUCGAGGUUCGAACCAAAAUCCGAUUAUCCAUUCCCCCGCAAAUCUGAAUAUAUAAUUGGUUUUGAAAUCGGACCUCUAUUGGGGUCCAACUCCCCACUUUUUAAGAAAACCUAGGUUCUACCCCAAUCCCCAAAUUCUCAAUUGUGAAAACCUUGAUUGAAGUUGAAGUUAUGUUAAAAGAUGUUAAUGUUUAGGAAAGCCCAAAGUUUUACCCAAAAAUUCCCAAAAUGCCCCAAGGCCCACAUGGUCCAAACCCGAGGUUCGAACCAAAAUCGGGUUACCCAUUCCCCCACGAGUUCAUAUCUAUAAUUUAUUUUGAAAUCGGACCUCAAAUUGAGGUCCAAAUUCCCAAAUUUAAGAAAACCUAGGUUCUACCCCAAACCCCCAAAUUCUCAUUUGUGAAAACCUUUGAUUGAAGUUGAAAUUAUGUUAAAAUAUAUAAAGGAGUAGGAGAAUUAAGUUAGAAAUCACUUACCAAUCGUUUUGGAGAAGAAAAGUUGUCUGGAAAAUCGCUUAUUAGGUUUUGGGUUUUUGAAAAGUGGAAAAAAGGGCUGAAAUUUUCGAACUUUUAUACCUCUCUAAUGAUCGGACGCGGACCGCUCAAAAAUAUGUUGCGGCCGCGCCGAGUGGAAUGAAAAUUGGGGCUUCUUUGAACCCCCCCAGCGCGAACAACACUGAGUUGGUGUGCGGUCGCGCUGGUUAACCAGCACCCAGCACGACUCAGACACGGACCGCACAGGAGUGCCUCUCGGCCGCGUGGCUCCAGCGCAGAUGGCACAGAAAUGAUCGCGGUCAUGCUGGUGUUUACAAUACCUGAACUUACUUUUCUUUAAGCCUAAUACCUCCCGGGCCUCACUUAAAACUCACCCGAGCCCUUGGGGCUCCAAAUCAAAUAUGCAAACUAUCUCAUGAACAUCCUACGAAUAUACUCGUGCUAUCAAAUUGCCAAAAUAACAUCAUUUACAUAGAAUCAAACCUCAAAACACAUGAUUUCUUCAAACUUCCCAUAAAACUCUUAUUUCUCAUUUUUUAUGUUCGAAACACGUCAAAUGACGUCCGCUUUCAACCAAACUUUAUAGAUAGCGCUUAAUGCUCAUUUAUGACCUAUACCGGUCAUCGGAACAAAACUCAUUUUCAUUUCAACUUUUCAUAUCAUUUUCAGAUAAAUAAUUUCUUUUAAAAAUUUUGUCGUCGUGCCUAGGAACUUGGAUUUCGAUUCCGGGAAUAUGCCCGGGUCCCAUAUUUUUCUACGGACCUUCCGGGACUGUCACAUCACGGGUCCGGGUCCGUUUACCUAAAUUGUUGACUAAAGUCAACUAUGUCAAUAUUAUUAUCAAAAUUCAUAGUUUUAACACAAAAUUCAUAUAUUUCCACAUAAACAUUUUUUUGGCUUCACAUCUGGACUGUGCACGCAAAUCGAGACGAGCAAAUGUGAGGUUUUCUAGGCCUCGGAAGCACAGUGAACUGGAGAAUUAUGGUGAUGACCCUUUGGAUCGUCACAUCCUCCACCUCUUAAACAAUCGUUCGUCCUCGAACGGACAAAAGAAAGAAGUACAUGAGUCAGGGAAUAGAUGGGGAUAAUGGCUCCGCAUAUCAGACUCGGACUCCUAGGUCGAUGCCUUAGGAGGCUGACCUCUCCACUGAACACGCACUGAAGGAAAACUCCUUGACCUCAAUUGUCGAGCCUGCCGGUCUAAAAUAGCCACCGGCUCCUCCUCGUAUGACAGAUGCUUGUCCAAUUGGACAAUGCUGAAAUCUAACACAUGGGUGGGAUCACCGUGAUACUUCCGAAGCAUGGAUACAUGAAAAACCAGAUGCACGGCUGACAAGAUAGGUGGCAAGGCAAGUCUAUAAGACACCUUCCCCACGCGAUCGAGAAUCUCAAAUAGGCCAAUAAACCUAGGGCUAAGCUUGCCCUUCUUCCCGAAUCUCAUCACGCUCUUCAUAGGCGACACUCGGAGCAAUACUNNNNNNNNNNNNNNNNNNNNNNNNNNNNNNNNNNNNNNNNNNNNNNNNNNNNNNNNNNNNNNNNNNNNNNNNNNNNNNNNNNNNNNNNNAAAGCAACGUCUCUGACCUUGCGAUCUGCAUAACUCUUCUGCCUAGACUGAGCUGACCGAAGUUUGUCCUGAAUGAUCUUGACCUUAUCCAAGGACUUCUGCACCAGAUCUGUUCCCAAUAAUGGAGCCUCUCCUGGCUCAAAUCAUUUGACUGGGGGCCAACACCGCCUACCAUACAACGCCUCGUACGGAACCAUCUGAAUAUUGGACUGGUAAUUAUUGUUGUAGGCAAACUCUGCUAAAGGCAAGAAUUGGUCCCAUGAGCCUAUAAAAUAAAAUAACGCAGGCUCGGAGCAUAUCCUCAAGAAUCUGAAUAGUCCUCUCGGACUGACCGUACGCCUGGGGUGAAAUGAUGUACUCAACUGAACCUGGGUGCCCAACGCAUGUUGUACCGCUCUCCAGAAAUGCAAAUAAACAGCGGACCUCUGUCCAAAAUAACAUAUAUGGGCACCCCAUGAAGGCAAACGAUCUCUCUGAUAUAAAUCACGGCAUAUCUCUCGGAUGAAUAGGCGGUGGCAAUAGAAAUAAAAUGCGCUGACUUGGUCACCCUAUCAACAAUAACCCAUAUAGCAUCAAACGUAUUCCUAGUCAUCGGAAG
Molecule: long non-coding RNA, 51571 nt
Filed under: Nicotiana benthamiana
Lineage: Eukaryota; Viridiplantae; Streptophyta; Magnoliopsida; Solanales; Solanaceae
Description: long non-coding RNA (NBEN_LNC024060)
Source: RNAcentral